UGAAAGGUGACCACACAAACUUUGUGAUUGAGCCUUCUUUUGGGGUUGAGGCUUAUGAGUUGUACCCAGAUGUCAAGUACACAACUGUGGAGGAAUACCUUGAUCAGUUCGUUUGAAGAAUUAACAAAAUCUAUCUAUCAGUAAUAAUAUGAGUUGUUUGUUACAUUGGAGUUUGACGCGGAACUGUUCUGCCUUUCCUACUUGUUGCUUCUUAUUUCAUUUGCUAUGUAAACUUGUUAAUGUUUUUAGUACCCAAAUAAUAUUCAAAAAUGGUUGUGUAUCUUGUCAAAUGUUGCCUUCUUCGUGUCAUGUGAGUUUGUCACGUUAUAAUAUGUUACUUUUGGCUGAAAAAUUUAAUUAGCUGGGACAAUAACAUAGUACUAUAAUAUUUAUAUAAAAAAAAUUAAAAAUUAUAUACAUAGGAGUAAAUGUACAAUUGUCAAAAAAUGACAUGGAAAACAACCCCGUGAAAAUGUUUGAGCCUCAUUUUUAGCUAGUUUGCACUUAUUUAUCGAUACAUACAUCUUUUUUUUUUUUUUUGGUAAUAUCGAUACAUACAUCUGAUUGUAUCCAACAUUUUAUUGCUAAUGAUAUGAGAUAAUUUCCUUAAAAAAAACAUGAGAUAGUUCUUUCUUCUAAAAGCCCAUGAAAAUGGUUGUUUAUUUAUUAUAAUAAAAUGGUAUUAUAGUAAUUUCCAGUGUACAAAUUCUAAUAAUUCCCUAAAAAAAACUUUCUAAUAAUGGAAAGAUAGAGAAAAAAUAAAAUUUGCAUCUACAAUGGAAACACUGAAAUAGGUUAAUGACCAAGGACACCCAUUAUCACUUACACAUGAGUAAUGAUAUUUGUACAACUAUCAAUUUUAAUGACAAAUUUUUUUUCUCUCUUCUUGUUGGUCAAAAACAAUAGAGAGAGAAAAAUAAAAAGAGAAAGUAAGAUCAUAAUAUAAGUAUGAAAUAAAAAGUUGUUGAAAGAUUUACAUGAAAUAUUGUACAAAUUAUACAUCUAUCUACAUAAUAUUUUUGUUUCUUCUUGUUGGACAAAAAAGACAUGUGUAUGGAUAUGAAAUUAACUAUCAAUACUCCAAUAAAAAAACAACAAUGAUACUUAAACACUUCAAUUUUUCACAUGUUAUUUUAUUUCUCUCUCUUUUUCCUUUUAUAGCACCUACAUAUUACAUUUACCACAUCACUCUAUUUUUUCUAACAUUUUUCAUAAAUAAAAUACUUGAGUGAGAAGUGUGCAGUGGUCUAGUGAGAUGGCGGUGAAGAGCAGGAUACUGAUAAUUGGAGGGACUGGCUACAUUGGUAAACAUAUAGUGGAAGCAAGCGUAAAGGUUGGACAUGACACUUUUGCUUUGGUUAGGGAAUCAACCAUGGCUGACCCCACCAAGGCUAAGCUCCUCCACAAUUUCAAGACUAUAGGUGUUAAUUUGGUCCAUGUAAGAUUUCAAACACCAUCUCUUAAUUUACCUUACAUUAUAUCAUGAACAUCCAGGCAUAUUACUAUAUUAGAGUUUGAAAUGAGAAUGGCAUUGGCAGGGGGAUCUCUACGAUAAUGAGAGCUUGGUGAAAGCAAUGAAGCAGGUAGACGUGGUCAUAUCUGCACUCAGUCACACACAUGCUGCUGAUCAAUUGAAAAUCAUCCAUGCCAUUAAAGAGGCUGGUAAUGUUAAGGUUAUCCUUAUCCUCUUGCUCUUUUGUCUUCUCCUAAUUUUGCAUAUUUUUGUUUUUGUUUUUUACUCUAUAUUCUUAAUUUACAUACUUUAAAUAUUUCCUCUCAAACAAAAAAAAUCUUUGAAUAUCUAUUUUGGCUUGUUCUAGGGUGUGCAUUUCCAAAGACAUUGUUUAAAUUGUUUAAAGAAUCUAAAAAACUUUGAAUAUCUCCUCUCUCUCUAGAGAUUUUUCCCUUCAGAAUUUGGGAACGACGUGGAUCGUGUCCAUGCUGUUGAGCCAGCAAAAUCUGUAUUCUCCGUGAAAGCACAAAUUCGACGUAUGAUUGAAGCUGAAGGCAUACCCUAUACAUAUGUAUCUACCAACUCCUUUGCUGGCUAUUUUGUACCAACAUUUGUCCAACCUGGAGCUACAGGUCCACCAACAGACAAAGUCAUUAUCUUGGGUGAUGGCAAUAAAAAAGGUAACAUUAACCACUACUUCUACUCUUGGUGGUUUAGUUCAUGCAUUUUGGUCUAGUAGCUACAUAAUCCAAUAUGUGCAUGCCUCACUGUAUUUUAAUUUGCAUUUUUGUGUUGAAUUUGUGCAGCUGUCUUCAACAAGGAAGAAGACAUUGGAACCUACACUAUUAAAGCUGUGGAUGACCCAAGGACAUUGAACAAAAUUCUUUACCUCAGACCCCCCAAGAACAUUUACUCAUUCAACGAUGUUAUCGCCUUGUGGGAGAAGAAAAUUGGAAAGACCCUUGAAAAAAUUUAUGUAUCAGAGGAUAAACUUCUCAGGGAUAUUGAAGGUUGGUAUAUAUAAUCACCUUACACAAAUGUUGAAUCUUAUUACAAUUUGAAGAGAAUUUUAUAAAAAGCGAGAAUAAAAUUUAUGAUAAGGGUCUAAUGUCUAUAUUUAAAUAUGGAAGUGUUAAUAAGCGAUUUAUUACUUGUUAUUGCAGAGAAACCUUUUCCAGACAAUGUAGGAUUAGCAAUCUGUCACUCAGUGUUUGUGAAAGGUGACCACACAAACUUUGAGAUUGAGCCUUCUUUUGGGGUUGAGGCUUCCGCUUUAUACCCGGAUGUCAACUACACCACUCUGGAGGAAUGUCUUGAUCACUUCAUUUGAGAAUUACAGUUAUAAAAUUGAAGCGAUCAGAUAGAUGUGCGCUAUGCUCUUGUACUUAUUAAUGAUCGAAUAAUUUAAUAAUCUGAUUGAUUUUGUAGCUUAAGAGUUUGACGCCGCAACUGCUCCACCUCUGUUGCUUAUUGCUUCUUAUUUGCUAUGUUAAUCUAUUAAUGUCUUAGCGCACCAAGUUUCUUUUUGUUGAAGACUGUCUUACUGUAAUAUUGUGUAAAGACUGUCUUAUGAAAAUGAUAUGAUGCUUGAGUUUUGGUAGUUUCCAAUUCCUGCUAUGGCUUUUGUUCUGUUUUACCUUCUUGCCCAAGGAAAAUUAAAGAAGUGGAAAAGAAAGACUAUCAUCAUGCUAUUAUGUAUACUGUUAUUUAUUCAUAGUUAUAUACAUACACAAAAUUUCAAAAACUACUAAUUGGCAAUGGGAUUACAUUGCUAAGUAACUAUAUUCCCUCCCUGAUUUUCUCUUUUUUAAAUUUACUUUAAAAGAUACUAUAUGUUUGCUGAACAAUUGACGCCAAUCGGUCCAUAUCAAUUCAGACUCAUUGUAUGGACAAAUUUGACAUAUUUACUAGUAUUUGUGAACUGAUACUACAUAUUCUUACCGUUUGAUUUUGGUGUUGUUUCACUAAGCUCAAGUAAUUGUGAAUUUGACAUUUGUUUGACUUGUACUUGUACUUUGGAAGCAUCAUAAUCAGUGCUAUUGCGAUUGCUGAGUAUAAGAUCAGUUUGAUUAUGAUGCGAGUGUGAUGAAGUUGGCAAUGGUAAUAAUGAUACGGUUGCAGCUGGUGCUGGGGCAAGUUCGUCUUCAACCACUGACUUGGCUGGCAGUGGUGCUGUUCUUAUGAUGUUACUCUGUGUGUGCCCGAUCAUUCUUCUUACCUUCAUUGUCUCUGUAAUAUUUCCUGCAAAGUUGGAAAUAAAGAUUAAUUGUACACAAGCCUAAUUAAGGUGCAAAUUAAAUAUAUCAAUUUUGGUUAAUAAGAAGUGUUAGAACUAAGUUAGAAGAUUGGUUUGUUACCAUUUAAUUCAAGGUCGGCUUUCGAAUUCUCUGACAAGAGAAUAAGUGUUGGUGUGAUUAAUGUAAGGAAAGCCCAGAAGACAAAUGUUGGAAUUAGAGUUCUUUCUCUCAUCAUCAUAUCACAGGAGAUUAAACUAUAACAAUUAAUAUCAUGCACCUCCUAAGUACAUAACUUUUUGGGGGCGAGGGAUAGGCAGACGCAGAGAAGAGGAAAGGCGUGGAAUAUGAUGUUUUUUGUGCUCAAAUUCAAGAGAUUAGUUGGCCAUGUUUAAACACAACUACUAUCAAGAAUCAAGAUAUAUAGAAUAAUAGCAACUGCUACUACUUGAGUGUUUUUUAUUAUAAUAUAAACUAGAGUCAAGUUUUGACAACCAAACAUUUGAUUUGGUUUAUCGAUCGGUUGUUGGAUGGUUGUUAUAUAUAGCCAUUCGUGUUUGUUUGAUCUGGCUAGCUUGCUGUGUAUAUAUACAUUAUUUACUAAGAAGUCAGAUUAUGUGGUGGCAAUAUAGGCUGACAUGAAACACUACACAUAAACAUUGAUAAUUUGAGUAAGAAAAGAUAAGUAUCGAUAAUAAUUUAAGACAAAUAGAAGUGAUCAAAUGCAACUAAAUAUGUCAAACAUUAAACAAGUUUUUAGUUUAAAGUGUGAGAACUCCAUAGAUAUCAUUUCAGACUUGUUCUAUUUAUUCUUUUGGUCAAGUAGUCUAGUGGCUAGAGCUCACACAAUUUAAUUGUGGAGAAGUGGAGUGUCUGGGGUUCGAAUCCCGGCUCCUGCAUAUAAUAUGCAAUAUCCCUACCAACUGAGCUAAGCUCACGGGGAUGUUCUAUUUAUUCUACUAAUGAUUAUCUGUGACAAUACUCACACCCUUUCUUAUUGAUGUUUAUUUUCCAACACCUAAACCAUGCUGCAGUAUUUUAAUAAUCACCAAAUUUCUCUUUCUUUAAAAAACAAAAAAAAAAACUCUUAGUUCUCAUUACCGUUCAUUAGAAGGUUCCUAUAAGUCAUAAACAAAGCAUUUAAUUAGGUCAAAAGGGCUAAAAUAAAUAUUAGCAACUGAGUUAUCAAAAACAAAAAUCAGCAAUUGUACGAAUAAUAAUAUUGAUAUGGUUAAGAAAUCACAUUCAACCGAGCUAUUGAAUAACCUUAUGCAUAGCGCUUAUAGAAAAAGGAAAAGAGAUGUACCAAAAGAAGAAGAAAAAAAGGAAAAGAGAUAUAUCAAAAGAAUCUUAAAAUAUGAAGAUGCAUGUUUCACACUACUGCUGAGCAUUAUUAUUCCUUGAUUUAUUUUUUAUUUUUUUUAAAAAAAAAAAGAAGAAGAAGAAAACACUGUAUGAAAGAAAUUUUUUUUUUGGUUAAGAUAUGAAUGUGAAUUUUCUAAUGUAUCUUAAUAUUUGGAGUGUAAAAUUGAUUUUGAUAUGAUUGAUCACUCUCAAACAUAAUAAUUUUGACUCCACGAUUGACUAUGAUUGAAGCAAAAAAUUAGAGCUUUUGAUUUUAGAAUUUAUUUUACAUGCCGAUUUAUUUUAUAUUAAUGUAUUCAAACAUAAAUAAUUUUACCUUCAUAUCACUUUUAACAAGAAUAACUUUACCUUCACAUCACUUUUAACAAGAACUAAUUAAGUCAUAAUCAAUUUUUAUCAAUUAAGUCAAAAUCAAUUUUUAUCGGUAGUAGAGGAGGCUUCUAGGGCGCAAUCUUGGAUGCUACAUGAUCAUAUUUUGAGAGACAAUCUAAUAUGUGGUAUGGACUCGGAUUUUGAUAAUGCUUUGAAUGGUCUUCGUGGUACGAUUUCAAAUUUUGACAUUAUCAGUUUUACUUGCAAGGACACCGUCCUUCCUAAAGCACAUGUUUUAGCGAGUGCUCUUUUUAGUAAAAGUGUUAAAGAUAUGGAAGUUAAGUUUGGCAUGAACAUUAGACAAAAGACAAUUUUAGGGUGUUUGCAUGCAGCGCAUGCUCAUGAUUUUCUUCUAGCUAUCCCGAUUGAUGAGUUAAGUCAGCAUAUGUCACGAGUGGAGUAUCGUGCUAUCCUUAGAUAUCGCCUUGUGAUUCCAUUGUUUCCUAUUGAUAAGGUGUGUCCUGUUUGUCGUAAGGCGUGCCUGAAUACUUUUGGGGAGCAUGUCGUUCAUUGUAAGGAGCUUCUCAGCUUUAAGUAUUGACAUGACUUUAUUAGGGAUGUCCUUUUUAAUAUAUUCAAGCGGACAAGAGUAUCAGUGAAGAAGGAGACGUUUGUGAACUUUUUAACUGACCCACUAGAUAGAAGAUUGACGCUUAGGCCUGCAGAUGUUAUGAUGUCCGAAUGGACAGGAGGAAAACUUACAUAUGUGGACUCGACUGAGGUUUUACCACUUGUGGGAUUAGGGACAUGGUUUUUAUGGUAGGAUAAUCAACCCUAUAAGAUGCAUAAAACAAAAUGAGAGAGCGUGUUCUGACAAUCAACAUGCUUUUAUUCCAUUUGCUUUUGACACUUUCAGCUUUCUAACACUAGAUGUCGUUGACCUUCUACAUAGAGUUCAAAGGGUCAUGCAUAACAAUGUCAUGUCUCCUAGACCCAUAAAUAUUGUGUUUACAAUGAUUGAUUUUGCCAUCCAAAAAGGCUUAACGACACAACUAUUGCCCGCUUGCAUUUUUUUUUUUUUUGUUGUCCGGGAUUCAAACUCUGCUUGCCUUCUAUUCAUGUACAAGUAAUUCUUGAUAUAUAUAUAUAUAUAAAAGACACACCCUUCAAUGUUUUGUCACCUUAAAAAGGUGCUGUUAGCAGGCCAACCCGGUUAAUUGGACCGGCCCAAUUCGAAAGUUGUUUUGAGAAUGAAUGAACUAACUGGGCAUACAUUUUUUUUUCUGGAAUCCCGAAAUUACCCUCUGAAUGAAAGGGGCAAUUCAUUUCCACGUCUACCUCGACCUCUCAGUCUUUGAUGCUCAAGACUGAAAAAAAACUCAAAAAGUGUUGGCAUUAGGAAUUGAUUGAUUGAAGAAGAAAUGGGAACCCUCGGAAGAGCGAUAUACAGCGUUGGACAGUUGAUUCGAAAAACUGGACAAGCCGUUGAUCGCCUCGGUUCUCAUCUCCAAGGUGGCUACAUCGAAGAACAGCUGUCUAGGCAUCGAACCGUGUUGAACAUAUUUGACAAGGCUCCUGUUAUUGAUAAGGAUGUUUUUGUUGCACCAAGUGCCGCUGUCAUUGGAGAUGUCCAGAUUGGAAAAGGGUCAUCAAUUUGGUAUGGAUCUGUAUUGAGAGGUAAGGGGACUCAUUUCAUCAAUUAGAUAUAAAUUUCAAAAUAUUUGGUUUCAAUGAUCUAAUGCUUUUGCAAUCAAAUUAUUGGUAGUCGUAGUAAUGCUUUAUGGGUAUGUUUGGAUUUGUUUAUUUGAGUUUAUCUACCGACAUAAAAAAAUUUAAGUGCUUAUAGAAACAACCUAUGACAUGUUUAUAAGCUGUUUUCAGCUUAUUUCCAUAUGCUCUCUAGGACAACUUAUGAAAAUAGCUUAUACUUACUUUGUCCCUAAUUAUAAGACUCCUUUCAAAUUAUCAUGUGUUCAUUACCUUUUUUUUUAAAAUUUGGUAAUAGUGACUCACAAAACAUAUACAUUAAUUAUACUACAUACUUUUUUAAUGUGCGUAAAAUGUGUCACAGGGUCUUGUAAAUAAGAACGGAAUUAUAUGAAAAUAUGUGUUAUAGAAUCUUGUAAUUAGGGACGGAGGAAGUAAUUUGUAUGAAAAUAGUUUCAUUUUAUUCUAUCUUUUGUUAUAAAAAUAGCUUAUACAUAAGCACUUCUAGUUAUAAAUGCUAAAUUAAGGUGUUUAACUAAACAAAAUCAAUUUUCAUAUGAGAUACGCUUAUUGUAAAACAAAGACAACUAUUUUGUGCAACUUCAAUAAAGUGUCUUUCUUAUAUAUUUUGAAACAAUGUUUUCAUGGGAAGUUGCAUUUUUCUGAACUUGAAAAGUAGAUUAAAUGUGAAAUCUCUGUGAGUCUCUCUCUAUACUACUUAAUAAUUACAUGCGGCGAACCGGCAAUCAUAUUUGAACUUAACAUUAUGGAUAGGUGAUGUUAACAUCAUUAGAAUUGGAAGUGGAACUAACCUACAGGAUAACUCCCUGGUGCAUGUUGCAAAGUCAAAUUUAAGUGGGAAGGUGUUGCCUACUAUUAUCGGGGAUAAUGUUACUGUAGGUGAGUAAUAUUUUUGCCAUGAUCAACAAAUUGCUACAUUGUACGCUUAAAUUGAAAUUUCAAAUUUCAAAUGUAUAAAAUUUCACGGAGCAGGUCAUAGUGCUGUUUUACAUGGUUGCACUGUUGAGGAUGAGGCUUUUGUUGGUAUGGGUGCAAUUCUACUUGAUGGCGUCGUCGUUGAGAAAAAUGCCAUGGUUGCUGCUGGAGCCCUUGUGAGGCAGAAUACAAAGAUUCCAUCUGGCGAGGUAUGUCUAAGGUGGCUGUAUAUUGUCUGGUACCACUUAUUGAGAUUUAGGAUUGUGUACGGUAUAGUAGAGCCAGAGUUAGCCUUAGGUCACUGGUUUGAAUCCGGCAGGUCGGCCCAAAUUGGUAGAGCCAAAGUUAUCAAAGAAUAGAAGUAAAAGAAAGAAAGCAGAUAGAGAUAGAGAAUGAUGAUGGGAAUAGAAUUCUGUUAUUUUUUUUACAGAGAGAAUUUUCUUUUCACAACUGUCAACAGUUUUACAAAUGAAUAUCAAUGAAUAAAUCUCUUAUUCCUCUAGGAACCUCCCUCCUAAGAAUAAGCUUGCAAAAUAGGAGGGCAGUUGGGUUCCUAACACUGUACAUGUUAGUCUAGCUGUUUUUUUGUAAAUAAUAUUCAUUACUGAGUGAACAUACUACACUGUCAGUCUAGGACUAGGGGAUUCAAUUAUAUUCUGUUUUGUAUAGUUUAUGGAUUUUUUCAUAGAAUUUUUUUAGUGAUAUACUUUAGUUACUUAGAUAAUUUUAGAAUAAAUAUUGUAGCAUUGAAGUCGUUUAGUUACUUAGAUAAUUUUAGGAUAAAUAUUAUGCAUUCUUUGAGUUACUUUUCAUCAUUAUUUUUUUGUGUUAUUAUUUUAAAUUUUACCCGACAAUCUUGUUAUAUUUUUGUAUCCAAGAGUUUUCUGCAACAUAAAGCAUUAAAGCUAUUGUUUUUUUUCCUUAAAAUUUGAAAUUCACCUAUUCUGUCUUAUAGCUGCUAUUUUGUUAUUUUUGUGUCAACACUAGCACUAUGGCUUCCAUCACCAUGACAGUAUGACACCUACAGCCACAACAAAUUUUGUUUACUGUGAGAGUAUGACUUUGGCUCUAAAGUAAACCCCUAGAAAAUAAAGAUAUGACAGAAGACACAUGAUAUGACACCAACUUAGAGAUAUAAUAAAUUUUAGACUUAAUUGCACUCUUGGGCCCCCAAGUUUCACAAUUGUGCGAUUUGGCCCCAAUUUUAAAAUGAGAGAUUUUGACCCCUCAACUUUAUCUAUCCUCUUUUGCAUUUACUAGUCCUCCAUGCACAUUUUGACCAAACAACGCUGACGUGUCUAAUUUUAUUGAUGUGUCAUCUCCACGUGUUUGCCAACAUGGAAACUAACAUUUAAAAUAAAAUUAAAAUAAAGAAAACAUUCUUUUUCACUCUCACUCUCCCAUUUUUACUCUCACACUCCCUUCAUACCCUUUUAAUUUCACCCAAUAGAAUGAGCGAGUGAACUUGACUAUGUUGGCAAACGCUUCUUUGACUAAGUUGCAAACAGACUCCCACAUUCUAGUUUUAUUUUUCUAUGAACAUACUCAUUGGCGAUUGGCGACAGUUUGAAAAUUCUUCAUUGACUUUUUUUUUUUGAAAUUAGAAGGGUAAGAAGGGAGUGUGAGAGUGAAAAAGAAUGGAGGUUUGAUGUGGAGGUGGAAAGAGGAAGGAAAAGGAGGAUUUUUAUUUAUUUUUUAAAAUGUUAAUUUUCACGUUGGCGAAGACAUGGAGAUGCACAUCAUUAAAUUAGUCACGCUAGUGUUUUUUGGUCAGAAUGUGCAUUGGGAUUAGUAAAUGCAAAAGGGGUAAUGUUGAGGUGUCAAAACCGCUCAUUUUAAACUUGGUGGCCGAAAUCGCUUAAUUCUGAAACUUGGGGGGUCAAAAGUGCAAUUAAGCCUAAAUUUAUUAUUAUAGGACAUGCCAUGGCUUUAAUAUAAUAUAUUAAAUUUAGCAUAAAAUAACAUUAAAAGAAUCUUAAAUUAGAAAAGGUACUGAAUGUUUUAAAAGUGAGCAAGUCAUUGUAGACAUGAGUGAAGUGCUAUUAUUUUAUAAUGGUUGUUGGGGUAUUCUCAUCUAUAUAUGUAUAAAAAUUCAAAUGUAAAAGUAAAAUAUGGUGAAAUGCAGCCAGGAGCAUCCAAAGUGUAUGACAUGGAUACAUGUUAAGUUUUCCCAUGUGAGUAAAUCUACCGGUUUGAAAUUUCUUUGCUUCCUUGCUAAAUCUUCAUCUUUCUUAAAUAGAUCCAAAUCCAGGUUCCUAAAUCUUCACUCUUGAGUUGCAUGGUUUUUUUUAUACCUGCUUAUGCAUCUUUUCACAAGAUUUUUAUGUUUUUCCUGUUGGAAAAGAUCUAAUAAAUAUGGCCAAUUCUUGAGCUGCAUGGAUGAUGAUCUUUGUCAAGGAUUCUCUUGUUGUUCCUGUUGUUUGUUCUGUACUCUUUUUCCCUUGAAAGAUUUUAUCCCUUUGGUUUUUUUCUGACAAGGUUUUUAAUGAGGCAGAUGCCAAGUUUCCUUGGUUAUUUUGGCUUGGGUUUUGGUCUAGUCCCCCCAAGUGCCUAUGUAUCUUUCUUUUUAUUUCAAUGAUAUCUCUUGAGUGUUGGAGUUUAUAGGUGACAACUAAGGGGUGCCAACAUAGUUGGGAUGUCUUGGUUUCUUGCCUCUGCACUCUUUUAUGUCUAAAGCAAAAAGUCAGAUACGUCUUGCACCAUGCACAUACUUGUUUCCACCAUUGGAUCAAUAAGUCGUACCCUUGGAUCAAUUGUGAUUUGAUGUGACUUGUUGAUUCAACGGUAGAAAACAAACUUGUGCAUGGUGCUAGACUUAUUUAUUUGUGCACAUUAGACAAAGCCAAGAAAUAUAUAUAGUUUAACCUUCUAUUGAAUUUAAAACAUCAUCUGAAAAUUAUGAUGUUAUUGUCAAUUAUGAGGAGCGCCUUUGAAUGCUGUCAAGGAAUUUAGCACAUGGUUGGCCCAAUUGCUAGACCAAAGCUAUAUUAUGUACACAUGGCUCAUGAAUAUCUAUCAUCUGAUGAAAAGCAUUCCUUAAUUUUGGAUUUUUUUUUUUUGGUCUGGGUAUCCAGCUAGAUAGUGAAGUUCUAAUGGUUGUUUGGCUGCUCUUCUUGAGUACUUGCUACGUGUAUCAUUCAUGAUAUGUAAACUUGCAUAUUUUGCAGGUUUGGGCUGGCAAUCCAGCGAAGUUUCUAAGAAAGCUCACCGAUGAAGAGAUAGCUUUUAUCUCCCAGUCAGCCACCAAUUAUACUAACCUUGCACAGGUCCAUGCAGCUGAAAAUUCAAAGUCCUAUGAAGAAAUUGAGUUUGAGAAGGUGCUGCGUAAGAAGUAUGCAACUAAAGAUGAGGAGUAUGACUCUAUGUUGGGUGUUGUUCGUGAGAUUCCACCAGAGCUUAUUCUUCCUGAUAAUGUCUUACCUGAUAAAGCAAAAAAAGCUCUUAAAAUAUGAGUUCUUAAGAGGCAGUGUCUUCAAUUCCAGUCUUGAAAACAUCAAGGGUAUUUUUUUUCUUCUUUUAAAUUCAUGGAAGAGGAGUUGUUUUGGUUUUCAAUAACACCAAACGUUUUCUAGGCUAGAGUUAUGGCUCCUUUCAAGUUCCAGGAAGCGAUUGCUCAUAAUAUUUCAAACUGUGUUCUCCACUUUGGAUUAGGAGAAAGUAGGUGAUAGGAUCCUGUAUGUUGUGUUUGAUAUAUUAUUAUAUGCAAGUGAUUUCACUUUUUUCUUCAUUGAUCCUUUCCUUCGAGACAUUAUUGACGUUCAUAAGUUCUUGAUGAGAUUAUUAUUAAAACAGGGACAUUUGACUCGUGUUUUUGUUGAGUGUGGAUCUGUACCUAUUCCAUUUUGAAUCUUUUCUGGUCAAUUUGAAAGUUACCAUUUGGAGAAUGAAUGAUUCUUUCAAAAAGGAUGAAAGGGUUGAAUGACGCAAUUCACAUUAAGAUAAGAAGUGGCAAAGAAAAUAAUUGAAUGAAACAGAUCGAUAAAAAAAAUAAUUUGGUAGUCGGUCAAAUUUAUAAGUAAAAAAUAAUUUUUAAGUUCAUCGAAUAACUAAUGUAUUUAGUUUAUAUAUAAGUUAGGAGAAAGAUAUUUGUACAACUAUUAUUUAAUAACUUUUGUGACGAUUUUCUUUUUUAUAUUCACAUUGUAUUUUUACUUUCUCUCUCUGUUGUUUUGUUUUGGUUUAAUUGCAGUUUUGCCCUCCUAAGUAUCACAACCUUGUGAUUUUGGUCUCCAAUAAAAAACAAUAACAAAUCAGCCCCGUAAGUUUUCCCCCUUUUGCACUUUUGGCCUCCCAAACCAAUUUUGACUAAGUUAGUGCAUAUGUGGCACUCACAUCACUUAAAGUGAGGUGCCACGUGUGACUUCCUAUUUUCUUUUGGGGUGAAAAUUGCAAAAUUGUGAUAGUUAGGGGGUCAAAACUGAAAUUAAGCCUAAUAAGGAUCAAAACUGGAAUUAAGCCGAAUAAAUAAAGUGAUAUGGGUGUCAUGUAAGCAUUGAUCCAGUCAAAAUUUGUAUGGGGCUAAAAGUGCAGAAUGGGUAAACUUAGGGGGCUGAUUUGUUAUUGUUUUUUUUAUAGGGUGCCAAAAUUGUGAGAAUUAGGAGGCCAAAACUGCAACUAAGCCUUUUUUUGUGUUAAUUCUUCAUUUUCUUUGUAAAUCAAUGGUUGUCAUAUAACUUGUCAUUGAAAUGGUUGUUCAAAUAACACAGCUCAUAAGUUAGAUACAAUAGUUAUCUAAUAAAUCUAAAAGUUGUUUUUUUCUUAUUAAUGUGACCGAAGGGAGUAUGAAAUAGUUGGUUGUGAGAUAUAUUUAAAAACAGAUGAAGUAAUAGUAAGUCUCAUGUCUAUAUGAUACUAGACCAUUGACCCGUGCGUUAGCACGAGUCAUUUUAAGAGUAAAAAUAAAACAAUGUAGUUCGCUUGAAUGUAAAAAUUGUCGUAAAUCAAAGCAUAAUAUCAAUUAACAUAAACUUUGUUAUUGUUCCAUAAUUCUAGUACGUAGUUCCUGUUACUUUAACAUAACAUAUAAUUUUAAAAGGGAAACUGAAGUUCGUUGACAUGCAAAUAGUUUCAAUAAGUAAGAAAAUGAAUAGUACACAAAAAAGUCCUAUACAUUACAGAAAACUUCUCUGUAGACCACAUUUGAUGCAACAUCGGUACCAUCGCCGUCCUCGUCAUUAAUCAAUAUCUUUAAAACACCCCUCGAAGUAACCCGUGAUAUUGUGACGUACAACUGUCAAUGUGAAAAAUAGGAAACGGUAGGUAGACACCAACAUAUUCUAGCGACUGACCCUGACCCUUGUUAAUAGUCAUUGCAAAUGAGACAGAUAUCGGAAACUGCCUUCGUUUAAAUUUGAAAGGAAUUCUAUUAUCAGAUGGUGUUAGCGAUAACCUUGGAAUAAACACCUUCUCAACGAUAUUACAACCAGAUAUUACCCGUCCUUCGAGCACAAAUUUUCUCAUAUUUGUAAUGAUCAAUCUAGUACCGUUACAUAAGCCCAAACUUUGAUCUAUGUUCCUCAGUAACAUGACAGGUGCUCAUACUUUCAGUCGCAACCGAUGAUUUGGCAAUCCGGACGCCACAAUGGUGUUGAGGAAUUCAGGAGUGUGGAUGUCAUCUAAUGCGUCACCAUCUAUGUUUUUAUGAUAAGGUGUAUCGUAACUCAAAUAGAUUUUUUCUUCACCAGGAAUCAAGUCUAACACAUAAUCAUUAACGUGUUCAACAAUGGUAUUCUUUGGUGUCAAUAUUGCUCUACUUUGAAAAUAUUAUGCUUCCAAUGUUUCCUAACAAAUUUGGGUAAGUGCUGUCAAUGAUAGAUGCAAUAAGAUUACCUGAACUUGGAAAAUUAGGAAAUCAUGGUUAGGAUUUGGAGAAGGGGAAUUAGAAAAUAUGGUUAGGUUUUGAAGGAGGGAAAAGUGGCUACGAUUUUUAGGUUAAAUAUUAGGUAUAAUUAAGGCAACAGUGCUUUGUUUAUGAAUAAGAGAUGAGAAAGAGACCUUAAUAAUCUUAAAUUUGAUAGAGAUUUAAGUAAAGUUUUGUUUAACUCUAAAAAUAAAUGUUGGUUGUUUAGAAUAAUUCGUUUUAGAGAGCUUAUUAAUCACUUGAUUAUUCUUUCUUUUUUGUAUCCAAUUACUUGGUUUUUAGCUUAGAAUAUUUUAUAUUAUUAUUAUUUUGUUGAGAAAUAAUAUUUAUAGAAUUAUUUUAUGAAAAUUUUCUUUUUAUACUCAUACUAUGUUUGUGACUAUGAAAGAAUUCCUCUCUUUAUCUUUAUAUUAUAUUGGUUUUUGUGUCAAACGCCUAUUUUAUUUUCUUUAUAAAUUUACGGUCGUUAAAAUAAUACAUGUAUUUUGUGUAAAGUGAUUUUCAUAAUUCUAUCUGUGUCAUCACAUCAAAUUAAUUUAUUUAUGUUUUUGUGUGUAGGGACAUAGUAAAAGAAGACAGGAAAAAGGUGAUUCGCGAAUCUCUUCCGUUUUGGAUGGAGGGUAAAGGAGAAAAAGCAAGGGUUUAAGAGUGGCGCCUUUUAGAAUAAAGAAUGUGAAAAUGUUGCGGCGCGUUCACCUUAUCAAUAUCAUAAUCAUGCAGUAGAUUGAGUAUAGAUCAAUCAAUCCAGAGAGAAAAGAUCCAUCUUCUUCUGCUUCGGUUCAAACCUAAUCUCAGUUAACAAUGGUUGCCGAAGGCUUUUGUCUGAACCAAAACGGUGAAGAAUUGGAAGCUCCUCCUUUCAUUUUGGGUCUUCAACCAUCUGCACUCGUUGACAACGUGGCUCACGUUGAUUGGUCCUUGCUUGAUCGAAUCCCCGGCGAACCCGGUGGCUCCAUUCCCGUCUGUAUUCAUUCUACUAUUCUUUCAAUUAUUCAAAUAUUAUUAUAAUAAUUUUAUUUAUUAUGUUCUUAGGUUGCAAUUGAAGAGCUUGAAAAUAUACUGAAGGAAGUUAAAUCCAAAUCUAAUUCGGCUGAUUCUUCUGUCAUGAAAACUCUGGCUGGUGGCAGUGUUGCUAAUACAAUUCGUGGUCUUAGUAGUGGUUUUGGAAUUUCCAGUGGAAUUAUUGGGGCUUGUGGUGAUGAUGAACAAGGUCAAUUAUUUGUUAAUAACAUGUCCUCUAAUGGUGUUGAUCUUUCCAGACUCCGUAAGAAGAAAGGACACACUGCACAGGUAGGUUGCUUCACUCACUCCCUUACUUUUUAUGUUAUGGCCCUGUUUGGAUAAACAACAGAGAAUUAAGUCAAAUUGUUUUCAUAAGCUAUCCCAGAGCUCGUGGAAAUAAGCUGAAAAUAGCAAAUAAGUUGUUUUCAUAAGCUCAUACAAACAAUCUUCCAAGCACUUACGUCCGUAGAUAAGCUCAAAUGUGUCAAUUCAAACAAACUAUAGGCUGAUUGUAUUAACUUAUUUUUGAGCUUAUGCAAAUAAAUAAAUUUUCUUUAAUUCAUAAGUUCUCAGUUCUCGCUAACAAAAAUUGUAUCUUCAUUAACUAUUUUUUCAUAAACUACCUUGACAAGCUUAUGAAUAAUACAUAAAAGCUUAUUUAUUUGCGUAAGCUUAAAAUAAGCCAAUACAAACGGGUCUUAUAUAUCAUUGUGACUAAUAACUUCUACAAAUACCAAAUACUUUUUUAUUUUCAUAUUAACUUGGCUUUCUACCAGUGUGUUUGCUUGGUAGACGAGUUGGGUAACAGAACAAUGCGGCCCUGUCUCUCGAAUGCUGUCAAAGUUCAGGUAUUGUUUCAUCUCAAGUUCCCUUUAUGGUUAGGUUAAGGUUCAAUUUUUAUCAAGUUUUUUUUUUUUUUUUUCAUUUAGAAUCUCUUUUCUUUGUUUGAUAGGCUCAAGAAUUGAUGACAGAGGAUUUCAAAGGCUCCAAGGUUCACUUCUUCAUCAAUUAAAAUACUGUAGAACUUGUUAAUUAUCCUGUCUUGUAUAUUUCAAUCAUUUUUUUUUAUUUUUAUUUUUUUGAAGAAAAACUCCAUUAUAUAUUUCAAUGAUGUUGCUUUCAUAUCAGGGAUUUAAAUGACUGGAGUCAAGCAUCCUUUAUUAUUAUUACUAUUUUGAACAUUUAUUCCACCAUAAUGUACUGUAAAAUGAAAUUGAUGGUGCAUUGGCUAGGGAUGGGCAAAGUUCAGUUUAGACCAAAACUGUGUCAAAACUGAACUGAACCAUAAUGCAAUAGUUUGAACCAAACUGAACUGGUUUUCAAAAUAGUUAACUGUUUUGAUUAAAAAAAAACUGAACUGAAUUACUAUUUUAGUUUCAUCUUUUUUCUUUUCUUUUCUGGUGAUAGAGAAAGCAAGACAGGAACAAAAACCGACAGCAAGGCAACAGCUAUGGGUCUGAAAUCUAAUAAAACUAACCAAAAUUCAAGCCCCUAGCUAUGCCUAAACCAACCCGCAACAGCCCCAUCACAGCUCCCAAACCAGAAAACAGCUACUGCAGCCAAAACACCAACACACAGAUGCACAGCUGACAGAAAACAGCCCCAGUAGCUGCUGUUCUGUCAUGACAGCAGCGCUAAAAACAGCCAGCAAGCCACCCCACAGCUGAAACACACAUAAAAACCAGACGAAAGCAACAGCGUUACCUCAAAAGGCAUAUGAAAUUGAGAUAAAUUUUGAUGAAUAUGAAUGAAAUGGGUACCUCGGAGCUGCAACAGUGGAGUUGAAUCACUACGGAGGGAUCCCGACGGUGACCGGAGAUGGAGGGAUCAUGACAGUGACCGGAGAUGAAUCGUUACGGAGGGAUCACGGCGGAGGAAUGAAUCAUGCUUUGUAGGUUUUGUUGGAUGGAUCGCAAGAGAGCAAUGAAUUUGGUCCAAUUUGGGUUCAAUUCAUUCUAUUUUAUUUUUCAAAACAGUUCAGUUACAGUUAGUAACUGAUACUUACAAUACAGUUCAGUUUUGAACUUUUACACACGGUUCAGUUUAAUAUUGGUUCAGUUCGGUUCAGUUCAAUAGUUUGGUUUAGUUUUUGGUUUUUAUGCCCACCCCUAGCAUUGGCCUUGUAUCUUGUCUCUGCAAACAUACUAAAAAGUUUCUCUUCGGUAUGUCCAUCCAUAUAGGUCUACCGCUACUAAUAAUAUAUCAUCUAAGGGUUCUCUGUGAACUUAGUUGUUGAUAUAUUUAUUACAUUUCAGUGGUUGGUGUUGAGAUAUGCAAUACUCAAUUUGGAAGUUAUUCAAGCAGCCAUUGCUUUAGCCAAGCAGGAAGGCCUCCUUGUUUCCUUGGACUUGGCCAGUUUUGAGGUAUUUUAUUUACGCUGCUACUCUGAAUCCCUCCUCCCCAAAAGUUCUUUUUAAAAGAUUGGGUACACAGGUUUGAUUAAUAAAAAACUGGGUUAAAUAUGUUUAGUCCCUACAAAAUCACGAGUUUUCAAGUUUAGUCCCUAUAAAGUUUCAAUGGUAAUUUUAGUCCUCAUAAUAUUGUGGUCCCUAUUUUGAAAACUUUUUAUUAAAAAUGGAUACUUUUUAGUCCUCCAAUAUAGCCCCUAUAAAAUGCAAAUAGGGGCUAAAAGUAAAUAAAUUUUUUAUAGGGAUUAAACAUGAAAACUUAUAAUUUUGUAGGGACUAAAAACAUAUUUAACCCUAGAAAAUUCAACUCCUUUCUAGUAGUUUUUUCUCCCACUUGAGCUUGGGAAGUUUAUAAAGUAAGUUUUGAUUUAUAAGUUUUAACUCAAAAAGGAAAAGGGUUCUGAUACAGAACUACAACUGCUAAAUCAGUAUAAUCACUAGUCAUGUAGUCCACACAAACAAUAUUACUGAACAUGCUUGAUUAAUUGUUGCCAUUUUCCCAACGAGAUCAUAUUGUUCUCUAGAAAAUCUCACAUGAAUAUAUGAUAGUGCACUAGGGGCCUAACAGUAUAAAUAUUUAAUACAAAUAUGCAAUUUUAAUUUUUAACAAGUCCUUUGCAUAAUUUAUUAAACAUUUCAUUUCUCACUCAUGACGAUCUCUUUAUUUUGGCAAGAUGGUCAGGAACUUUAAACAACCACUUCUAAAUUUGCUGGAAUCUGGAAACGUAGACCUCUGCUUUGCCAAUGAGGAUGAGGCAACUGAACUUUUAAGGUGACUGUCGUCAAUAGUAGUCACUAUCAAUCCUGAUUUUUAUCAAGAUAUCAUUUGAGGAAGAUAGAAUUUAUUUUCAGUUUCCAAGUUAUUGCCUGCCUUGAUUUCAUUGUGUAUUUUUUAUUUUAUUUUAAAUAAUUAAUAUAAAGAUACUUUAUGAUGAAUUUUAGGGGCGAACAGAAUGCUGAUCCUAUAGCUGCUGUAGAGUUUCUUGCCAAAUACUGUCAAUGGGCUGUGGUAACAUUGGGCUCUAAUGGAUGCAUUGCUAGACAUGGGAAGGAGGUUUGUUAUUUUUUUGAUGUCCUGUUUUAUAUGCUAUACCCGGUUUCUUCUAUCAUUAUUUUCCCCUCUUUGGGAAUGCGUGCAGUUAGUUUAUUGACUGCAAGACACAAUAUUUAACUCAACACUAGACAUGGUUUAGCUAAUUUCACCCAUUAGGAAAUUAGGAGUUUGGUUUGAAGUCAUAUGCCUCCCUUUAUAAAAUAAGAUUUCUGAAUGCUGAAGCUUUCCUGCUAGCUUAAUGUUCCGUCCAUAAUGUUAGUAUAACAAACACAAAAUUUGCAUUCUCCCCAUCGGUCCAACUCAAAUAUACCAAAGUUCUAGGAAGGAGGUAGAAGGGUGUACUCGGCAGCAUUCUGCAGAAUCUGCAUUAUGUCUGAUCUUUCAUUCAUCAUUAUCAUCAGUAAAGAUUGGCCAACAUUAGCAUCAUGGGACUCUUUUGUAAAGAAAUUGUUUGCUGUUGACAUGAUGAAUAACAAUUGCAAACGAAUCGUUUUACUUGUCAGAUGAUACGUGUCUCGGCUAUAGGGGAAUCAAAGGCAACUGAUGCUACAGGAGCUGGAGAUCUUUUUGCAAGUGGAUUUUUGUACGGAGUGGUUAAGGGUUUGUCACUAGAAGAAUGCUGCAAAGUAGGCACAUGCAGUGGUGGGUCUGUCAUCCGCUGUCUUGGGGGUGAGGUGACGUCUGAGAAUUGGCAAUGGAUGUACAAGCAGAUGCAAGUAAAGGAUCUUCCCACACCUGAUGGCAUAUGCAAAUGAUUAUUGCCAACAUUGUUUCCUAUUUCUUCCUAUUUGUGCUGUUGUUUGUUUUUUCCUUUCUAAUUAUAGUUUUAUUAUUCAUAUCUUACUAUCAAUUGGAACGACCACCAUAAUAACAAUACAAUUUGUGGCUGGUUUGACUAAUGUACUUCAGCUUAAGGCGAUUAUGCACCGUCAUCCCUCGUUUAAUGUUAACCACAGAAUGAGCGUUACUUCAAUUUUUUCUCUGCAUUUAACUUUUGAUGAGCUUGUCAUAAGUAUCACGGAUGAAGCUGCCUGCUCAAAUGUUUUUCCCUCAUUAUUGAUGUACACUUUCAUGAGGUUUAGUUGGUCAAGGGUGAACUGCAACUGAGAACACUGGCAAAAUAAACACCCAAGUACGUAGCUUAUAAGGGUGGAUCAUAGAUUUCAACAUUUUUUUAAGGAACUCUUCCUACUUGGUGAAACAAAAAAUUAUACCACCAUCAAUUUUUAUUUUUUUUCAAAAUCGCUGUAUUUUUCUCGCAUUUAUUGAAGUGGAUCUCAACCCUAAUAUUUAGUUAUUUGAGUCAAGAGUAAAAGUGAACAUAAUCAACUCUCCUAUUUUCCUUAAAAAAAAAAAAACCUAUCUACUUUUUUUUUUUAUCAAUUCUAUCUUUAUCUUUUUUUUUUGAAGGAAUUCUAUCUUUAUCUUAUCAAUUAAUUUUAAAAAAAAUUAUAUCUUAUCAAUUAUUUUGCGUUUACUUAAUGAAGAUAAAGAGUAAAUAAAACAUAAAAUAUGCAAGGCCCGGGUUCAAACUCCGGCCACCAUAAAAAAAAAAAAAAAAAAGCGAAUAGACCAAUGAAAAGUAAAGGUAUAUAUUUAAAAAUUUAAUUAUUAAUUGAAAAGAAUUUUUUUUUGUUCAAAACAAACUUUUUUUUCCACUUGAAUAAAAGUAUCCAUUGCAGAUCAUUCAUAAUCAGUGGCUCAAGAAACAUAGGAAUAACAUAUGAUUGUAGUAUAGGGUAAGGAUAAAAUAAAGGAUGCCAUUGUUAAAGAAUGAACUUAAUUCUAAAAUAAGGACAAUUAUGGAGAGUCACCCUUACAUUGCUAAAAAAAUACUGCUCACCUCAGAUCCAUUAUUGGACAAAUUAGACAACUUGUCAACCAAAACUUUACGGUCAGCCUAUAUAAUGAGAUGGUUGCUCAGUAUGCACCUCAAAGUUACAAUCCAGUCUAAUUUUACACAUAACAACAGCCGGUUGAAAAUUAAGAUCUGAUUGAAAGCAAAAUUGAGGUGCCUAUUAAACAACUUUCAUGUAGCGACCUGGGUCAAUUCCAUCUCCUAGGCUAGUUCAAGUGUACAAAAUAAAUUUGGGAGUCGCGAUGGUUUAAUGGUUGGGAGUAGGGAUGAGAAUAGGCUAAGCCGAGCUAGGCUUUGCAAGGCCUAAGUCUGGUCUGACAAAUUUUUGUAAAGCCUGCGGCCUGUCAUAGGCUUACUUUUUAGGUCUGAGUCUGGCCUUAUGAAAGUCUGAUUAGGCCUACUAGCCUGUUUAAAAGCCUAUUUCAUAUGAAUAUCUUUAAAUAAGUAGUGUAAUCCAAUGUUAAAUAGACUAGCUAGCUGAUAGAUCAAUGAUAUUAAACUCUCUAAUAUUAUUUAACGGAACUUUUAGAGAACUUUACAAUAUAUUAUAUCAUAUUUCAAUUCUAAUUUAUAAUAAUACAUUUAAAUAUGCGAAAAAAUAAUAUAAACUAAUAAGCUUAAAUUACUUUAAAUGUUGACAAAUUUAUAAUUUAAUUCAAAGUAGAGUAUAUAAUAUAAUAUCAAUAAUAUUAUUCAUAUUUACAUAAGUAGGCCAACCUAAUAGGCCUAAAAGGCUUUUCUAAUAGCUUGUGGCCUGACCUUUUGAGCUAAAUAAGUUUCUAAAAAAACAUAGGUCUUCCCUAUUUAAGAAAAAAGUCUGACCUCGUCUGACCUGUCGUAGGCUAGGCUCUAGGCCCCUGUAGACCGAUCUAACCUAUUCCCAUCUCUAAUUGGGAGUCAAAGACUUAAAUAUGGCAACAUUCAAUAACUUAAUUUUGAAAUAUUUAACAGAUCUAGCAAUUUACUAACAUUUGCCUUCCAAAAAAUUAAACAAAUCACCCAUAUUUCAUCGUGUCCAAACUUUCAAUAACUUAAUUUUGGGCAACAUUCUUUUGGGUUGACAACUUAAAUUUUGACAUUUAAAUAUAAAUGUUUUACAAAAUACUUCAUCCGUCCUUUUUAUAAGAAACAAUCAAAAAAAAUAUCAAAACCAAUACAAUCAUUAAUUGAUAGUGGUAAUUGGCUUGGGAGCCAUUAAUUGAUGUAGUUUUUUUUGAAUAUGUUUAUAAUUAUAUCCUCAUAAAAAGUUGUAAAAUAUUAAAUACACCCGUUAACAUUAAAAAUAAAAAAAAUAAAAAAAAAUCAAUGAGGAGUAAAUAAAGUCUUUUAAGCAAAUACCAUCUUAAAAACUGCGACAUUUUCUUAUAAAUAUGACCUUUUUAAAAAUAAAAUAAAAACUUAUUCAGUUACAAAUAAGGACCGGAGGGAGUAUAAUUUAUCUAAACAUUUUUUCCGCAGUUACAAAUAUCUAAUUUCAUAUAUCUUCACAUUCUAAAUAAUUUAAAAAUAAUCACAUCGAUAUCUUACUCAGUUACUCAAAAAUCAAUAUGCAAAACAAUUUUAGUUUUUAAGAACAAUAUGCAAAACAUUAAUAGACUAUAUGUAUAAGACUCAAAAAUGCCUUUCACUGAUCCAUUUCUCUAUUUUGGAAAAUUGGUACUUCUCUUGAAAUUUCAAGUCAUAUGCCCCAAAUCAAAAAAUGACAGUGUGGUUGAUAGCUUAAAAUUGGAAAACUGGGUUUUAUACUAGCAUUUUCAAAAGAUUCAGCUGCCCUUCAGUGGCUAGUGAUAAUACAAAAUCAACUCAAAUUUCAACUUUAUAUGCUCCCGAAGCCUAAAACCAACUAUUACAAGUGAACACUAACCUAAUGUCGGAAACAAUUUAUUGCAAGUGUACACAGACAUUUCACAGACCAAUAUAUCAUCUAACCGGCUACUUGCCGAGUACAUGGAGCAUUAUAGCAUUUUGUGCAUGCAUUCGGUUCUCAGCUUGAGGGAAUACUAUUGAAUAUGGAGCUUCAACAACUUGCUCAGUCACUUCCACCCCUCGCUCAGCUGGUAAGCAGUGCAUGAAAAAUGCCUUUGAACCAGCCGCAUCCAUAAGACUUUGAUCCACCUGCAUUGGGCAUAUGAUUUCAUGUGUGCAUCAAUAAAUAAUUCAAACAUCAUGUCACGUAAUCACAGCAUUUAAUGCCACAAAAUCAAAAUAAUGGCAGAAAAAUAAAGAGUCGGAUGAAGGGGAAGGGAGAGCCUGACAUCCAUUUUGGCACUGUCUUGAACAAUCUAACUUGAUCCUAAGUUCCUAACUAUUUAUGGAACAAUGCAGUGGGAACUUACCUGGGAAAUAAAGGUGACUGUUCAUUCCGAAAUCUAAGUGUGAACAAGUCAAUAGUUAUAAAUUAUAAUUCCUAAAUACUAGUCUAUUCCCAUAGUCUAUGAACUUCUAAGUUUUACUACACAAUAUAAGUAUUUAAUAUUCAUUAACUUGGAACAAGAUAUUUCCUAUUAAUUUGUUACAAAUGGAGGUUUGACCGUUCAAGCUCUUGGGUUAUUGGAGGAAAGGUGGCCUGGCAGAGGAUCAAACCUCUUAUAAAGGGCAGCCCGCUGCCCGGUGCACUAAAGCUCCCACAUACGUAGGGUCCGAGAAGGGGUUUGGGGUUCCACUAUUUGGUGUAUUGUACGCAGCCUUACCCUGUAUUUUACACAAGAGGCUGCUUCCAGAGACUUAAACCCGUGACCUUUCAGCUACGUGACAAACAUAACACAAGCUACUGCCUACUUUGCUCGAAAGUCCAUACAAAAGAUAAAUCAUUUCAAAUACAAAUACAAUAUAAAGUUUCAAACAUAACACAAUCGCAAUCCCGCAAUAACACUUUGUUUUAACUGUACCUAUAAUUAAUGCACCAAUUCCACCCCCACCCAACCUGAACUGUCUAAGCUAAAUUCUAGGUUGCUACAGUAAAAGAAUGUCACAUCUUACAAGCUUAUUAAAAUAUAUCUUGUUUUUACCCAAAAACACUAUAUUUUGUGACCACAGUAUUAUAUUAAGUACCUGAAAUUCUUUGAACACUUGGCGACGGUAUGCAGCUUCUUCCUUUUGCCCCAUGCUGGCCCAUACAUCUGAAUACACAACAUCAGCUCCUUUAACAGCUUCUUUUGGAUCAUUAGUUAUCUCAAUCUUGCUGAUUCCAGCCUUCCUUGCCUUCUCAACUGUUUUUGCAUCAGGUUCAAAACCUUUUGGACAAGCACAAACAAAGUGAAAAGGGAUUACAGCUGCCAUCAACAACCAUGAGUGGACAAUAUUAUUUCCAUCUCCAACGUAAACAACCUGACAUGCAAAGAAUAUGGUCAGGCAACAAUUCCCUUGGCAAUACUACCAAGAAUUAGAAAGAAGCCUACUUUUCAAGACAAACAACAAAAACUGACCUUUGUUCCUUCAAAUCGACCAACAUGCUCAAUCAUAGUAAGGGCAUCAGCCAUGAUCUGGCAGGGAUGGUUGUAAUCUGUCAAACCAUUGAUGACUGGGACAGUUGCAUACUUUGCAAGAUCAAGUAUGUCCUGCAAAUAAUUAAAAUAAAAAGGGGUUAAACUGAAAGUGCUUGUUUAUUGAUGUAAGGAUUAAUCACGUUAGAAGCAAAUUACACGUCCCAAUGAGAUAGCAAGUCUCGUAAUUACAAAGUAGCUAAUUUUAUUUUGAUGCUAAGCCCACUAAAAUUUUAAGAGACCGCUAAUAUCAAAAUAUUUCAGAUAGAUGCUGCCAAUGCCAAGUCCUCGGAAGGUCCCAUGUUUGCAUUACAUAAAUCCAACAUUGCACACACAAUCUAUACUACACCGCAAAAAUAAUAAAGUCGCAUAUUGUUCUUCAAUUAAUUGUAUAUGUAUCAUAGUUGCAUAUUCAGUUAUUUACUCUUUCAAUUUACAAGCAAUUAUCUACAAGCAAUUAUCCUGGCAGGUUUUUACAAUCAAACUUGGUGAAUGCUUCUUUGCAAUUCUGUGCAUGCGCAACAAACCCAAGAGGAUAUAAAUGAUUAGUGACAUCUUAAGACCACUGUCUCGAUUACUCUGUCCCCAAAGUCGGCAUUAGAGCCCUCUGUAAAACAUGCAUCCGGUAGCAUCUAAGUACAAAUUAUAGUUUCUACGUAGUUUUUCUUUCCCACCUCUUAGAAGUAAAUCCUUAAUUCGAGAAUUAAACAUACUAGCCCCUAUCAAAGUUGUUCAUUGAACCCAUGAGGCAUGUAUUGAACCCUAUCCCGAAGUGAAGCCAGUUGCUCCUUUCACACCACUUCGCGCAGGUUCAAUUGAAAUUUGAAUUUAAAAGAUAAUAUAAGCACAAGAAUGGUAUCUGAAUUCCAAAACGAUAUCAAACAUAACUGAACAAAGUGACAGAGCAACUCUAAAUGACCACCAGUGAGCAACAUACCUGAUGAGAAAAAACCCGAGCCAUGAUAAUGUCGUUAUAACGAGACAAAACUCGAGCAACAUCACGAGUCUCCUCUCGCUUACCCAUUUGAAUGUCAUCAGGUCCUAAGUAAAUAGCAUGGCCACCCAACAAUGAAAAGCCAGUCUCAAAUGAAACCCUUGUUCUCAUGGACGGUUUAGCAAAUAUCAUUGACAUUGUCUUCCCUUCAAAAGGUCGAAAUGUCCUGUCCCCUGAUUUCAGCAAUGUCUUGACCUCAAUAGCACGAUCUAAUAUCUUAAAAAUAGUGUCCUUAUCAAAAUCAUCUAUGUGAAGAAAAUCUUUCAACCCAUUUCCAACUUUUUCUGUUUUAAGUAUACAAAACAAAAGAAAGCAGUUGUUUAAAUCAAGAUUGGUACUUAACUAAAUAAAUAUCAAGAGAAUAUAAAAACCCUAAUAAUUUGUUUGAUUAAAAAUGAAAUCUUAAACUAGAAUCGGAUGAGUGGGGUUACCGGUGAGAGGAGAUUCGGCGGAGAGAGCAGAAGUGGCAUGGCAUGAUAUAGUAGUGAGUGGAAAUGGCGAAGAAGAAACGGAGGAAAUGGGAGGUGAAUGGCGGAGAUUGGGAGGAGAAAGAGAGAGGUAGGGUUUGUGUGAUACAACGGCGCAGCAGUGGCCACUCAUCACACCCAUUUUCACUUCUUUGUUUCCACAAACUAUGAGCUAACGACACUUGCUGUUUUUUUUUUAGCUUCCUCAGUUGUACCCCAAACGAGAAUAAUGUUUUGUCUUUAUCUCUCUAUGGCAAUUUUUUCAUUCAUAGUCACUUACUUACUUUUUGUUUAUUUUUAAAUUGAGUAGUGAUAUUUGAUAUAAUUUGUUUUUUUUUAUUGGUCAAAAACUAUGGAGAGAAAAAAAGGAAGAGAGAGAAUAAGAGAAUAAUGUGAAUAUGAGAGAGAAAGUUAUCAUAAAAUGAUUGUAUAAAUAUUAUUUCUCUUUUAAAUUACAAAAAAUUCUUUUUUAAUCACAAAUCGAAAUUAAAGUUAUUUAAGCACAUACUUAUAAAAUAGAUAUUGUUUAACUAUUUUAAGAAUACAUAUUAUUUAAUUAUUUUCUCUUUCAUAUUUUUUACAUUCACAUGUGUCUAAAUAAGUUUUAUUUAUAUUUGUGUCUAAGCAAGUCUACUUUCUUAAAUUACUAACAAUUGGACUCAACUUUUGUAAAAGAAAUAUAUAUAUAUAUAUAUAUAAAUAUAUAUAUAUAUAUAUAUAUAUAUAUAUAUAGUUGUGUUUGGUUUUUACAUAGGACAUAUCACGGAUUAAAAGAAAUUCAAUAAAAUGAAGAAUAAUCUCAAUAAUAAGGUGACUAAUAAAGAAAUUGUCAUCUAAACUUUACCUCAAUCUUAGAAAAUAAAGACAAACUAAUUUUAAUAUUAAAAUUAUUUGCAAGAGAGCACUUCAUUUUGGAUAUUUAAGUCAGUCAUGCAUGUAUUUCAAUAAAUUUUAUUGAUUUGUAUGCAAUUAUUUAUUAUAUAUGACCCAUAAAAAUUAAAGAGAAAAAAUGCUUACAUAAUCACUCUUCUACGUAAACAACAAACAUUGUUCCUCUACAAUGAGAGGAUGCUUAUUUAUUCGAAUGCUAAGGAGGUGAUUCACCAACUGUUAUGGAUGCUCUAAAUGAGUGUGAAUGCUCUAACAAUAAUUAAACUAAAUUUUUAAACACCUAAAUAGCGAAAUUAAAUAAAAUCUACUAAAAUUUGAAAACUACUCUCAAAUAUCACUUGAUUCCAUUUUUUUAUGGACAAGAAUAAAGCAUUUGCCUAUCGUUCAAUUGUUGACAUCUUUGCAAACUUCCAAAUCGUUUGGGCAAGAAUAAACCCACAUUCACUCUUUCUAACACAACACCAUAAGAUGUCCCUUGCUGGGUCUCUCCCACCUCGUUCUAGAAGGAAGACAAUGAGCAUUAUUACUACUACUCUGCUGGAUAUUAUGAACAUCGAACCAAGCAUGCCAGGUUCCCAUAAGUUAAAAUUUUGCUUACCAACCUGAUUUGGGGGUUGCCUGUUGUUAUUCCAAAUGCACCACAAGAGCAUAGCAACCCACCCUGCUAUGAUACAAUACUCAUGCUUGCAAUUUGCAAAUAUAAAAAUUCUGCAUAAGUGCUAAACUGAGCCAAUGUGUUGCAAAACAUUGGUCAAACAUGCGGCCCUCCAGUCACGGGUCUGCUCAGAAUUGGAAAAAAAAAAUAUGAAACUCAUCAUCGGAUUCUCCUUCACACAAAUGGUAGAAUUAUAUGCCGAUCGAUGUAACAAACGAAGCCGUGCUGGAAUGCAACCUGGACACACUCCGUAACAUAUGACUAGCUUUAGGAGUUUGGAGUUUGAAUUAUCAACUUUCUCAUCACAGUGCUCUUUAACUCCCCUCGAUCUUUUUCAUCAAUUUUUGGUCAAACUUUAUUUACUUUAUAUCCAAACUUUCAAUUAUAAAACUCAUUUUUCAUAAUUUUAAGUUUAAACACCAUAACAUUUUCCAAGAUGCAUACUGCAUAACUGCAUAUCAUAUGACCGUAAUAAAUAAAGGGAUACAUACAUAUGGUGACCCCGCGUGUGCUUUUACCCAUAUUGAAAGUGACUCGUGAAUGUAUGUGAGGUUGUAUUUUAGUUCUACUUCAACGUUUGCUAGCUAGUUAGUAGUUACUAUAUACACCACCAGACCAGGCAUAACCCCUCUUCUUUUUCUUAUUUCAACCACCAAGCCGGCAAAUCAUAUUAAUAUAUACACUUAUUUUCCUAAAAAUACCAUCUAUAAAUAAAUAAACACGGAGAGAAUCUUCAUUUGCUUCAACACAAGGCAGGGAAAAACAAAACAGAAUAAUAAUAAUGAAGCAUAUGUUCUUUCUAUUUUUCAUAGUUCUCUAUGUGAUCUCACUACUCAACGUAGAAGCAGACGAUGAGUUUGUGAAAACAAGAGGAGUGCAGCUUAUGCUGAACGGAAGCCCUUAUUAUGCCAAUGGUUAUAAUGCAUAUUGGUUAAUGUAUUUUGCUUCUGAUCCAUCUCAAAGGAACAAAGUCUCAUCAACUUUUCAAGAGGCUUCAUAUCAUGGACUUAACAUAGCAAGAACAUGGGCUUUCAGUGAUGGUGGUUAUAAACCCCUUCAAUACUCUCCUGGAUCCUACAAUGAGGAAAUGUUCCAGGUUUACUAUAUAUUUAAUUUACUGUUCAACCUUCACCAUUUCCAUUUUCUCAAUCAUAAAUUUAUAUAUGCACCAAAAAUUUGAUAUAAUUGUUUAUAUUUGUGCUUCUCUGUUUUGUUGGAUAUAUAUUAAAAAUAAAAGGGGUUGGACUUUGUACUAGCUGAAGCCAGAAAAUAUGGGAUAAAGGUAAUUUUGAGUUUGGUGAACAACUAUGAGGAUUUUGGAGGGAAGAAACAAUAUGUGGAGUGGGCAAGGAGUCAAGGCCAAUCCAUAAACUCUGAAGAUGAUUUCUUCACUAAUCCUGUUGUGAAGGGAUACUAUAAAAAUCACAUUAAGGUAAAUUUUAUUUUCUUUUUCCUAUUGCCAUUAUUAGUUAGUCUUAAUUAGUGUGGGAUUAUAUUUGUAAUGUUAACCUUUUUAACAAGUUUCAUUGCAAAAAAAAAUCCUGUGAUAUUUUGAAACUUAGAAGACAUGUAAAUACGUGUGAGACGUGAUGUAUGAACAUGACAAUAUUGUUCAUCUUUAGUUGUGAACAGAUGUAAAUAAAGAAUAACAUUACAACAUGAGCAAAACUCAAGGCUCGUCAGACAAAUGAAAUGUAAUAUAAAUGAGCAAUUCCAGAAAAAUAAAACUUACAUGACCAACCUGAAAAAGAAGAAAAAAAAAAAGGUUAAACUUAUGGUUUUUUCUAGAUUACCUUUGAAAAAUGGUGGGUAAUUUUACCCACCAACCAAUCAUAAUGAGCAAUUUAUUGGUGGGUAAAUUACCCAUCAUUAUAAUGAACAAUUUACUUGUGGGGUCAAGAUAGUUUAUGGAUACCACCUAAAAAGGUGAAUGUUUAUUGGUUGGAGUAAAUUACCCACCAUUUUUCUAUAGGUACCCUAGUUAUCUCCUAAACUUAAGGAUUGCAUGCUUAAUUUUUCCUACAAAACACUCACGAACUCCUAAAUAUAUAGCUCUUGCGAUUUUUUCUUGUCACUUUUUAUAAGAUUUCUUUCACAUUUUUAAUUGCAGUCCCCCCUAUUGAUUGUUUUGUCAAUUUCAACGACAUAUGAACACCGGUUUGAGGGUUCAAACUCGGACAGUGCCGUUUGAUUGUGUGUGGUGUUUAUUUGCCAUUUCUACUGAGUUGACAAAAAAUUGCACUUUUUUUUUUGUCAAAUAGCCUAGUGGUUAGAGCUCACUCAAUUAAAUUGUUGAGAAGUGGAGUGUCCGGGGUUCGAACCCCGUCCUCUGUAUAUAAUAUGCAAUAUCCCUACCAACUGAACUAAACUCGUCGGAAUAAAAUUGCACUUUAUUACUAUGGUGAAGUCAUAAACCGAUUCUUUCAUUUAAAGAAUAAAUCAGUAAAACAAUAUCAAUUGUGGACAAAUUUAAUAAUACUAACUUGACCAAAAAAAAAUAAAAAAAUUUAAUAAUACUAAUAACUUUUUUUUUUACUCUGUUUUUUUUUUGUUUGAGUAUCUAAUUGCGUUCCAAUGAAAUUGUUUUUAAUAAUGUAAGAAGAGUGAGUAAUGAAUCACAAAAAAAAAGUAUAUUGAAGGAAAAUUCCUCACUAAAUGAUAAAUUUCUGACGCAAAUAUUAUGGUUAUGAAUAAUGAAUGAUCUCUCCAUGGUUGGUUGGUCAAAUAUUUCAUUUUCAUGGACCUCACAACUACUUACAUGUGGUUAAAAUUACUCUGCAAUGAGUAUAAAUGUUCGCCUUUAUGAGCAUGAUGUAGAUGUUUCCACGAAAUUUCCCAACCAAAAUCUGUGUUCCCCACCCACCUAAUAGUUGUCAUGAACGAUUCAUGUAGUUUGUCAUAAAAAUAAACAUUGAAUGACACAUUUAGUAUUUUUCCCCUUGGAUAGUUUCAAAAAGAGUAAUAAACAGAUAUAAUAAAUAAUAUUGGAGAUUUUAUGUAUUAUUUAUUACUAUGUAUAGACAGUGGUUACAAGACGCAACAGCCUGAGUGGAGUUGCUUACAAAGACGACCCUACAAUAAUGGCUUGGGAGCUUAUGAAUGAGAUUAGAUGCCCUUCAGAUCACUCAGGAAAUUCGGUUCAGGUUAAAUCAUAUUUCACUCAUUAUUAUCAUUAUUGUGUGCAUGAGACAUAAAUCUUAAUAUUGACUUUUAUGAUUGUAAUUUUCAUCAGCAAGUAUAUAUUUAUUGUCGUGUUGGUCAAAAAUAAUUAGAAGGUAAAUAUGUAGCCAGAUAAAAGAAAUAGAAAAUAGAUAAAACCUAUUUUACAUUUGAAAGUACAUUCCCUUAUAUAUUUAGUCCCAAUUAGGCAACUUGGUUAAUAAAUUAAGGGACAGUGAUGAAGUUUUAACUCAUAGAUUCAUGGUUUAAUAUUUUCCUUUUUCAUUUUUCUACAGGGUUGGAUUAGUGAGAUGGCAUCUUACUUGAAAUCCAUAGAUGGAAACCACUUGCUUGAAGCUGGUUUGGAGGGUUUCUAUGGACAGUCAAAGACAGAGUCUAAUCCUAACUUCCAAGUUGGAACCGAUUUCAUUGCAAACAACCAAAUCCCCACCAUCGAUUUUGCUACACUACACUCCUACCCGGAUCAAUGGUUUGAAUUCUUUUUUAUUUCAAUACUUCUUUUAUUUCUUUUUUACAAAACAGAAUGACAGUGUGGUAGAUAAUCGAGGGGGUCAAAAAUUCCAAACUAAAAAGCCACGCUCAAUCCUAGAACCAAAUUUAUGCUUGAUGCACUUAGUGUAAAAUACUUUAUUAUGUCGUCUAAUAAUAAUAAUAAUAUAUUGUUUCACAAUGCCCUCGUUUAUUAAUGUUUUAACAUAUAAUUCUUAAAAAAUAAAAGGAUAAUAUGAUAGUGACAUUUUUUUAUUUUUAAUGAAAAUAGUAAUAGUAGUACUUUAAUAUAUAUUGAGAAUGCUUCUUCAAAAAAAAAAUAAGAAAUUUCAAAGAAAGAACAGAACUUUGAAAUAUAUGGAUCUAAGUUUUGGAAAGUCAAAUUAUUUUUCUUAUGAAAAAAAUGUAAUAAGCGUUUAAAAAAUGAGAGUGUUGUGGAAGAUUAGAUGAAAAUAUGAAUUCUAUUCUAUUUAUUAUUUAUUCUUGAAAUAUUAAAAUAAUCGAAAUAAAGAAGCAAAAAUAUUCAAAAAAUGAAUAAAAUGGAAUUCAAAACAAAAAAGAGAAUUUGAUUCUAAUGCGAGGAGAGUUUAAUAAAAAAAAUGAAAAUGUAGUAAGAGGUUAUUACACACGAAUUGUUAUUAUUAUGAGUUUAAUGAAUUAUGAGAGUGGAUUGUGAUUUGGUUUUGUUUGACUUCCCAUGAGCAGGCUAUCUAAUUCAGGCUAUGAGGACCAAAUAUCUUUCUUACGUGGCUGGCUCAAUGAGCAUAUCCAAGAUGCACAGAACAUCCUUCACAAGCCACUUCUAUUUGCAGAGUUUGGCAUUUCAUCUAAAAACUUGGGCAGCAGCAAUAACUCAACAAAGAGGGAUCAGUUUUUCAAUACUGUAUAUUCAGCAAUAUAUUCAUCAGCAAGUGGUGGUGGAACUGCUGUUGGUGGCUUAUUUUGGCAACUUCUUGCUGAAGGAAUGGAUUCUUUCCGAGACGAUUACGAGGUGAUACUAGCCGAGAGCCCCUCAACAGCUACCUUGAUUGCUCAAGAGUCUCAAAAGCUCAAGCGAAUUCGCAAGAUGUAUGCCAGACUCAAAAACAUUGACAAGUGGAACAAGACAUAGAUAUAUCAGUGAUAUUUAUAUUCAGAAACUGAUGAUAAAAUUUUAUUUGGAAAACUAGCAAGAUACAUGUGAUUUCACACGGGUUGCGUAGUCUACUACGCACGUUUGUGAACAUUUAUUUUCUUAAAUUAGAUAACUCGAGGUAUUUCAACUACUUACGUAAUCUGCAAGUUAACUAUAUUGGACUCAAGAUUUAUGUCUAAACUCUAUAGAGGUCAACCAGAUAAUUUGAAGUGCUUCAUAUAACUGUUCCAUCUUGAAUUGUUGCAUUCUUCAGUAUAACGGUGAUGCCUGACCUAAUGUAAAAUCCUUCCUUAGUUCUGUCGGCUUCUUCAACACCCUGAAAGGUAAAGAUGAUUAGAUCAUUAGAGAAGUCUAGAAAAUGAAAUACACCGUUAGUCAAAAUCCUUAGCUGCGGUUUCAGUUUUUGAAAGAUAAAUUAUGAAAGAGCACUUACAUCUGCAUUUGUAAUGAUUGCAUUUCUUCCAAUUUUUGCAUUCUUGUCAAUUAUACAAUUCCUUAAAAAACGAUCAAAGAUGAAAUUAUCAGAAAUAAGAAAAGGAGGGUGCCGUGCCAUCUAAUAUUGAUGAUAUAAAUGCACAUUGGAAAGCAUAGCUCGUCAUGGACUGUUACUUGAACUUCUAAUCUGGAAUCCAGAUAAAGGGAUUUCUAUACGAAUCAAAAUAGUUUUCUGUGUGACAUAAUCGUACCUGAUUUUGGUAUUUUCUCCAACACCAACAGGCACCUUUCCUUCUGCCAGCAGAGAUGCAAUUUCAGACUCAGUUUGAUAGUAAUCAGCACCCAUCAUCAUGGUAUCCUAAAUUGCAAAAUCCAUUAAGAAGGCAUAUACCAAAUAGAAGAUGAAAAGGAAUCAAAAAAAUUAGCUAAAAUUUUAGGCGAUGCCGUUUUUAGUCAUCGGUCAGUAGAAGAGCACAAACUACGGGUCAUCAUGUAAUGCUUCUCCCAAAUACAACAGAGAGAAAAGUGACAAGUGCCGAAAAGUAAAAAUGUAUACCUGAAGCUCCACACCAGACUCUAAACGUGAUCGUAUUCCAACAAUAGAAUGUUGAACACUACACUCCCUCAAGAAGCAACCGUGAGAAAUAAUUGCAUCCACAAUCUAUUGAAACCAAUUAUCAUUCUUACAAUAACAUCAACAACAGAAACCAAUGAAGAACUCAUAUUCAGCACAAAUUCCCUUGUAAAAGCUGGGGGAAAUACCUUGCAUUUUUCUACUUUAGUAGGUGGUAGGAAUCUCGGGGAAGUGAAGAAAGGUGUCUUUGGAUCAUAGAAUUGAAAUUUUGGAGCCUGCAAAUAAUGGCACAAGUAAUCAGUAAAUUUAGUACAUUUUUCCUUUUGAAGAAAAGCUUACUCUAGUAAAAUCACUUACGCUUUUCUCAAUGACAUCAUAUGACAAUCAGCAAAAACAUGGGUACUAAUACUAUACUAUUAAGGCUUAUAAAUUUUGAAAGUUUCUUCAGGUCUGCAGAAAUUUGCAUACUUUUCCUCAUUCUGAAUAUUUCCAUCUGUUUUUAAAUUGAAAUAUGAUCAACUUUUAUUUCUAAAGUUUAUAAUUUUCCUCCGACUUGCUUGUAGUUGAACUUCUAACCAUGCAAAACAGUUUGAAUUGGCUGAAUACCAUUAUAGUCUAAGAGCAUGACCUUGAGAAAUAUGAACCUAAAUACAAAUAAGUUACAGGAUAGUUUAAACAUACAUGUUCUGUUAAGGCCAAAUUUGCAUCGAAGAAGGACUCUAUGGUUCCAAUAUCUUCCCAGUAGUCAUUGAACAAAAAUGCCUGAGAAUGCAAAUAGAAACAGAAAUAUGAAGUUAGUUACCAGUAAACCUAAAGAGAAUUUGAACUUCAAAAAUAAUAGCAGUAAGGAUAUUCCUUUUCACCUGGACAUUGUGCCCACUAACAGCAGAUGGAAUGAUUUCAGAUCCAAAGUCAUUGCAUGUAGAACCGUUCAAUUUUAAUAGUUCCAGUAGGGUCUCAGUUCGAAACACGUAAACACCCAUGGACGCAAUAUAUGGAUUUUUCUUUGCUUCUUCUGGAGAUAACCCAAGAACUGUGGUAUCAACACGCUGCAGUUAUUAGGGAUGCAUUAGCUAGGAAACACCUAGAUUAAACUUACUAGCAAUUAUUCAGGCAAAAAUGGAUGUAAGAAAUAUCAGGCUUGAGAUACUAUUAAUGCACCAUUGCUUUCAAAUCUGAUCCCUUGGGCUUUUCUGCAAACUGUAUAAUGCGGCCCGUUUCGUCAAUUUUCAUCAACCCAUAAUCUGAUGCUCGACUACAAGACACAUAAAGUAAUAUUAUUGUUAGUGAAAGUUCUGCCUCUAGCAAGUAAAGUGGUAUGCCUUCAAUGUAAAGAUAGAAUGAAAGCAUACAGGCCGAUAUUUCAUGUAGAUAGAUAUACCUGUCGUCCAUGGGAAGACACGAAACUGUGAUAUCGGCAUUAGUGUCAAUAUGUUUCUGUAAUGAUAUCCCCAAGUCAAUAUCACCAUUAGUUUUAUAAAACGAAUAACAGGGUACAAAUCCAUUAGUUGUAAUUAUAGAUCAUAAAUUAUAUCAAAUUUCACCUGCACAAAAUCCAUAUAGUUCAUUCGGUAAAGAUGAUCACCAGAAAGUAUCAAUAUAUGCUCAACAUUCUUGUUCUUAGCAUCCUGUAAGACAAUCCUAACACGUUAGCUAUUCUCAAGAGAAACCAGCAUAAGUAUUUUCAGCAAUAGAAGUGAUAAAUAUUAAAGUUUUUCUUCACGAAUUGUAAAAAUGAAAAAUGUGUAUUUGUUCACCAAUAAGCAAAGCAGAAAUCACACUUGAUAAGUUUAUUUUGAAAGAGCCAAUCACAUUUACUCUUGUUUUUGUGUCACAUUGUUUUGUACUAACAUUUAUCAUUAUCCUUUCAGCAAAUAUGCAACAUUACAAUAUUUUACCUCAAAAACCCAUAUAAAUUGCCUCACAGCAUCAGCUGUUCCUUGGAACCAUUUCUUCCCAGCUUCUCCAGAUGUUUGAGUUGCAGCCAAUACCUAUGUGUACGCAAUUAUAUCAAUAACAAUUCAGCAUUACAGUAACCAUCGCCUUUUAUUCUUGUUACAUUUCUAUGAAGACAAUAAUUAUGAAAAUCGUAUGCUGCAUUUUAAACAGUUCAUAAGUAACUCACCUCCACAAAACCCUCCCCAAAAGUGGAGACAUUCCCGAAAUUGUAGGCACGAGACAAGUGACGGUUGAGAGAGAAAGAAUUGUACUGUGUUAAAAUGAAUAUUUUUCUAAUGCCACUGUUGAUGCAGUUGCUCAUAGGGAUAUCUAUGAGUCUGUAACACCCUCCAAUUGGAACCUGCAAAAUUUCACCAAAAUAGUAACAAACUAUGCAUAAUGUAAUUGCAAUUACAAUCACUAGUACUAACCAACAUUGUAACAAUUCAGAGAAAAAGACAGGACCCUGCAUGGAUAAACUUAUUUGAACCUAUCUACUAGCAUAAGCACUUGUGAAAAUUGUUUAGGAAAGCUUGUGAGAAUAGCUUAUGACAUGUUCAUAAGUUGUUUUCAACUAAUUUUCAUAAGUUCUUCAAGAUAAAUUAUGAAAAUAGCUUAUAGCUUAUUUGAAAACAAUUUGAUUUGAUUUUAUAUUUUGUUAUAAAAGUAACCUAUACAUAAGAAACCAUUCUUAAUUAAGCUGAUAAUACAAUUAGUCCAAUAGGAACCUGCGAAAUAAAAUUUCACCUAAAUAGUAACAAACUAUGCAUAAUGCAAUUGCAACCACUGGUACUAAACAACAUUGAAAAACUUUACAGAAAGAACAAAAAAGUAAUAUUUUUACCGCAGGUUUGGCUCUUUUGCUAGUAAGAGGAAAAAGGCGAGUUCCAGCACCACCACCCAAAAUGAUUGAAGCUACACUUUUUGGGUCUGCUUUUGGAGUCUCAAAAUAGGGUCCCUCUUGAAAUGUCUGAAAUCAAAAAGCAAAAAAAAAAAAAUCAAUUUUUAAAAGCAAAAAAAAAAAAAAAGGUGAUUUUUUUCCCUCUUUUGAUGGUAUUAGAAUUGAGUACCGUGGAGUCUUGAUGAUCAUUGAUCCCUGAAGUGAGAACGUUGUGUUCAGCUCCAUUUUUAGGAUUGAAUGAUUUGGGUGAUUGAAUGGUAAGGAAUCUUGUUGUGCUUAAACUUCCCUUAGUAGUUUCACCUAAGAACACACUGUUUCUGGUUCUUCUUCCAACUCCUUCAAUACUAAUUUUGCUUAGAUUGGUACUGAGGGGUGAUGCAUAAGUUGAAGCUAUUGCUGAAUCCAUAAUUGAAUUGAAGAGAAAGAAAGGUGAGAAAUGGAAGGAGGAGAAUGUUGUAGUGACAGACAGAGAAGAAGAAAUGGUGACUCACGAGAAGCUUGUUAAGACACUCUACGCUAUUUCUCUCUCUAGUCAGACUCAGAACUGCCUCUACAAAUUUCUAUGAGUGACUUUCAUCCCAUUUUCUUUUUAUUUCAUUUUUAUUAUUGCUACUAUUAACUCUUUUAACUCUUCAUUUGGUAAAAAAACAAACUUUGUAAACCAUUUGAUCUCGAUUUAACGAUCAUGAUUAUCAUGGAGUGUAAAUAUGUCAAAAAAAUUACUAUAUGAAAUUCAAUAUGGUAAACAUGACAUGUUUAAAAUGUAUGAAUCUUUUAUCACUUUUAUCAUUCACAUAUUGGUUAAAAGUAAUUCAUCACAAUUACACCUUCAUUUUAUUGUGAGAAAAAAAAUGUAUCUUUUUAAAAAAAUAACAUUAGCUUAGCGUGAUUUUAUUCAAUUUACUGUGAUAUCAAAUAAGCACUAAAUUAUGUGAAAAAAGAAUGAUAUGAAUGUAGUUAGCUCUUUUUAGAGUGAGAUUAUGAAUUAUUAUUUUUACUAAAGAGAGAUUAUGAAUGUUGUUAGUUUUGUAUUUUUUUUUUAGGGAAUGAAUGUUGUUAGUUGAUUAGUUCAUCCAUGUAAGUAAAUAAACAUGGUAUGAUUGUAUUGUUGACUUAUUUUUUAUGGUUUGAUUAAUGGUUUGGCUGCGGAGCACAGUGCUCUUAUUAUUCUUUCAUUUACAUAUGUUUUAUUGUGCUAGUAAAUAGUAUGAUUUUGUUUUUUAUUUUAUAUCAACAUUGAUUUUAUUUUUAUACUUUGGUUUGAGGCGUAUAAAGUAAUAAAAUAUUUUUGUACCACUUGUAAGUGGACACAACAUUUAGAAAGAACAAUAGUAAUUUGUACAAAAAAAAAACACAAUAGUUAUGGUGAUGUUAAUGUGUAAGUUCUAUAAAAAGUAAUAAUAUUACCUUAUCAGUAUUCGUAUUACAUAAUUACACUAAAAAUUAGGCAAAAGAUAUAUUCCUAAAAUAACAUGUAAAUUAGAGUGGAUGGAGUAUGUUAGAGUGUGUGAUGGGUGAAGUGAAAGUGUUGUAACACUAAUGCAAGGAUCUAGAUGUUCAAUUCCAAUAUGAAACAUAAACAAAACAAAAAUGUAUGAUUUAAGUAUAUAUUGUAAUUUUGUGAAUUGGUAAUAAUGUGUUCAAACUCAUAUAUGUAUAAAACGGCAAUAAUUGGAUGUUGUCCUUUAUUUUAAGAAAUAGAUAGGAUCUAAACUCCAAAUGAUUAGUCUUUAAUUUUUCAGCCGAAUAUCUUGGACAACCAAUUUUAUAUUUAAAAAGAAAACGCAUUAUGUUCAGGUAGAGUUGCAUAAAUAAACACGGGAGAGACGGUAUCUGUUGUUUUGUUUUUGUGUGUGUGUUAUGUUGUCGCGUAACAAGACGGUGGAAGAUCUCUAAGUUUAAGGAGAUAAGAUAAUGGCCUUGUCUAGUCUAAUUCAACUUCUUCUUCUAGUUUGGAUUGCGAUAAAUGAUAAUGACGCACUGCGCAGGGGUACAUGGAACUUUCAGGGCCAAUAACAACUAACUGGUUGGUUGUGACAACUUUUCAAGGUUUUGAAAAUGAAAUGAAUAGAAACGUCUAUAGCAUAGCAUGUGCACUAUGAAAGAAACGAUGGCAUGAGUUUAGCACGAUGCUUUGUCAAUUUAUCUCUCCCAUUUUUAAUAUAACAAUAAAGCUCUCAAGUAUUAUUUCACAUAAUUUUUUUUUUGUUAGAAAACUAAAGACAAAAGAAAGAAAAACGACAAAAUGAAGGAGAGACUAAGCUCUAACAAACCAAGAUUUUAGAGUCUACUGAAAGAAGGUUUAAGAUGUCGGUUGAAGUUAAAAGGGGAGAGGUGGAUCAUGAUAUAGAAGAAGCUCCUAGUUUAACAAGAUGUGAACAAUAUGAACAUGUCGAUUUUGAUGGAGGAGGUCUUUGAUGUCUUCGAUCAAAGUGACAUAUUUGCGAAAUCUUGGUAUUUAAAAAUGGAGGGUAUCAACAUAGUGAAGAGAUUAUGUGUAACAAGUAAUGGUGAUUCAAUUGUUUAGCCAACAAAAGCACUUGAUCUAUUGCAUGGAGUUCAACAAUGGCUUGCCCAAAGAUAAUCGGGGAAGCAAGGGGAUAAAUGUAUAAGUCGUAUUAUGGGGUUCGAUCAUAAGGUGGUAUUAUGGGAUUGCUACAUUGGUGAUGCUAGAAGAAUUGCGAUUACGCCAAGCCCACUAAAUGCCUGUUGCAAAAAUACUGAAUUUUUUCAAAUAACUCAACAUAAUCACCGUUACCAAUGUAGUCAGAAAUACUGGUGAUGUUAGACAAACCCCACUUAAGCCAGCUAAUUGAAUCCAAAUUGAAAAAGAACCCAGCAUAAUCACCAUUACCCAUAAUUACUUCUUUUUUUUUUCUUUCAAUUCUACCAUCUAAUUUAUACUAGUUUCAUCAUUGUUAAAUCAAUAUAUACUCACAUACAUUUAGGGUAAUAGUGAUUAGAAUAGUAUAUGGUAAAAUAAAAACAAUUUAGUGAAAUUAUCACUUUCUCAAAAUCAUUUAAGAAAAACUCGAAUGAUCAAUUUAUAUGACCCAAUUUAAAGUAGCAAAACUUUGUAUGGACUAACCCAUCGAAAUUGGUACCGAUGGAAACUAUAUUUAAAACUUUGAGAGGAACACACUUCAAGAUCCUAAGUCAGCACCAACAUACCAACUCAGUCACACUUUUCUUAAUUCGUGUGAAAUUAUCAAACGGGUCACUCAUUUUCAAACAAACUGAAUAUAUGAUAGAGCAAUCUAUAUAUGAAAUACAAUUAAUUAUUGAUGUCGAAUCAAAGAUUUAAUCACGGUAUCGUCUUCAACUAUUACUCGCCUGCUUCAAGCGAUUAACGUUAAGGAAUAAAUUAUAUGUCUCCAUUGUAGGUUCAUCAGGAGAAACUACAUAUAUGAUCACUAUCAUUUGUUAAAUUUACACCAUUUGAAUUUGCAUGUUAUUUUAAAAAUACAUAUUAUUUAGUGGAAAUGUAUCAUUAAAAAAAAAAAAAUCUCUUAUGUCUCUGCUCAUUUAUUUUGUACACAAAGACCAAGAAAAUAUUUUUUUUAUAGUGUUUAAUGUUGUUUCUCAUUUUUUGUAGAUUGUUCUUUUUUUUUUUUUUAAUGAGAUUGAACUAUUUUAAAUAUUAAAAUAGUUUUUUUUUAAAUUAUGAAAACUUGAAAAUAAAAUCAUGCAAUCAUCAACUUUUGGACUCACAAAAGGAAAAAAUUCAAAAGUCUAGCAGAGCUUUAAUCGUGUUUCAAGAGUACUUAAUUCAAAACAAUAACAAUAAUAGAUUGCUCUAUGAGCAAACAUAAACACAAAAAAUGCAAAAAGUACUUUCUCCAUGAGCAAACAUAAACAAGUUCCAAAAGCUAAACAAAAGGGAAACCAACAGCAAAUGAACACCUCAAGGAGCAUCUCCCACAACACCCGCAACACCCUCCCCUCCUGGUAGCCUCUCAUGCAAAAAGGCAUAGAGCUGCGCGAAAGUAGCAUGGAGCCUCCCAUCUAAGCUGGCAAAGAGGCCUCUCACCGCAUCUUCAGUGAGUGCUUGCUGCUGCAGAUUCAAAACUUGGUUCUGCAGCUCCGCAAUCUUCGCAACAUGAGCACGGACCUUAGCAAUCCUAACACAAAGAUAAGGUGUUGCACUGCCACGCCUGUGCAUGACCUUAAUUUGCAUCAUGCACUGCUCCACGUACUUGUCAGCCAUGUCAUGCUCGUACAUAAUGUCAUUCUUGAUGACAUCCAUAUGAUAUCCAUGCUCAGCCACUCCUUCGUAAAGUAUGACCUUUCUAACAUACUUAAAUUUGUCCACGAGAACGAGAUCUUCGGACACAUAAUAAUCAGGCAAGGCAAAGGAAAUGCAACAAUGUCCACGAAUCCAUCAACCACAAACUGUUGGAGCAAUCCACCAGCAAUGGUAAGGACCUCCGUCGGAGAUAUAGCGGUAAAAUAGUGAGGAUCCAUGAGAUCAGAAAAGUGUGGGUUAAGGAACUUUUUUUUUUCUGUUCUUUCAUUGGUCAAGAGAAAAGAUCUGCACUGCGCCUUCAAAACAAAAAAAAUAAAAAAUAGUUUAAAUUAAAGGUAAAAAUAGAAGAAAAAGUUCAGCACAAAAGGGUGCAUCUACUUUUAUAUAUUAUUGGUGUAGAUCUUUUUAAGACAUUCAUCCAACAAAAUCACCUUCUAAUUUCAAUUUUUUAGAUCAAGUUUUAAAACAUGCCUACAAACAUGAUUUAAUUAAAGACAUAUUUAUACACACCUUAUCCUUUAAUUGAAUAUCAAUAUGUUUAAUUUCUUCUUACAAACUAUUGAGUACUAACACAUUUGUCUAAAAGUUUUAACUAAACAUGUAAAAAUAUCAAAAUUUCUAGGUCGAACCUCAUGAUAUGAGUUUGAACCCUGACACGUAUGAUGAUGUUGAUGUUUGAUUUACUCUUCAUGUGUUGUUGUAUAAUGCUUUGGUCGAGUUGAUACUCUGUUCACAAUCAUAAUGUAUAGUUGUGUUGAUGUUCAUUAUUUUAUUAUUGGCGUUUAUUUACAUCUUUCUAUUGUUUCAAUUUAUGGAUGAUUCACAAUUUCAAUCACAAUGUAUGUGUCUCUGGUUUUGUUCUUUUUAGAUUGUUUCAUUUUAUCAUUGAUGAUUCAUAGUCGCAGUGCAUGUGUAUGUGACGUUGUUUCGUUCUUUCGGAUUCACUUUGUGUUUGUGUUGUAUUGCUUUGUGUUGUUGCAGAGUGAAGUUCUUGGUUGCUUAAUGGUGAUUAUUGUUGUGCAUGUUGAUUUGGAAGUUCUCCCAGUUACUCUUUUGAGAUUUGAUUUCUAGAUUUUUUCAAAGAGAUUGAUCAAAAAGUUGUUGUUCAAGUUGCUUAUGCGUUUCUAGCUUAGUAAAACUAGAAACUACUUCUAUUUCUGUUUUAUUUACCACAAAUGCUACGCAUACACAUUAUUUCACUUAGUACUCUAGAAUUUGCGGUGAAUAAUCCUUUAAUUUGUUUUUGUUGUUUUAUUUUCAUGUUUUUUCUAAGUGUGUCAUGUGUGUGUUUGUGUGAGAUAUUACAUGGGCCCACACAUUUCAAACAUACUGAAUUUUUGCAAAAAGUUAAGUGUAAGUGCCUCACUUUUUUAACAUGGCACCAUGAUUUGAUAUGUGUAAAACAAAAUACAUAUUAAGUGUAUAUAAAUUAAAUUCAUAUUAAUACACACCUUAUCGGUCUAUAUGUUUAAUUUAUUCAUACAAAUUAUUAAGCACUAACAUAUCUGUCUACAAGUUUUAGGUAAACAUGUAAAAAUAUUGAAAUCUCUAGGUCGGACCUCAUGAUAUGAGUUUGAACCUUGAUACGUUCACUUAUGUACGAUGAUAUUGAUGUUUGAUUUACUCUCCGUGUGUUGUUGUAUAAUGCUUCAAUUGAGUUGAUGCUCUAUCCACAAUCGUAAUGUAUGGUUAUGUUGAUGUUCAUUGUUCUAUUAUUGGUGUUUAUUUACACGUUUUUAUUGUUUUAAUUUAGGGAUGAUUACAAUUUCAAUAGUAAUGGAUGUGUAUGUGGUUUUGUUUGUAGAUUGUUUCAUUUUAUUAUUGAUGAUUCAUAAUCGCAAUGUAUGUGUUUGUUACGUUGUUUUGUUCUUUCAGAUUCACUUUGUGCUUGUGUUGUAUUGCUUUGUGUUGUUGCAUAGUGAAGUUAUUGGUUGCUUGCUGGUGAUUACUGUUGUGCAUGUUCAUUUGGAAGCUCUCUCAAUUACUCUUUUGAGAUUUUAUUUAUGGAUUUUUUCAAAUAGAUUCAUCAAAAAGUUGUUGUUCAAGUUGAUUAUGCGUUUUUAGCUUAAUAAAACUAAAAACUACUUUUAUUUCUGUUUUAUUUACCACGAAUGCUACGCAUACACAUUAUUCCACUUAAUAGGAUUUCACAUAACAACACUAGAAUUAUGCAGUACUUUAGAAUUUGUUGUGAAUAAUCCUUUAAUUUGUAUUUGUUGUUUUAUUUUCACGUUUUUUCUAAGUGUGUCACGUGUGUGUUUGUGUGAGAUAUUCAUUGGCCCGCACAUUUCAAACAAACUGAAUUUUUGCAAAAAGGCAAGUGUGAGUGCCUCACUUUUUUAAUAUGGUACCAUGAUUUGAUAUGUGUAAAAAAAAAUUACACAUUAAGUGUAUAUAAAUUAAAUUCAUAUUAAUACACAUCUUAUCCUUUAAUUGAAUUUCAACAUGUUUAAUUUCUUCAUACAAACUUUUAAGCACUAGCACAUUUGUCUACAAGUUUGAACUAAACAUGUAAAAAUAUCAAAAUCCAGGGACGGCCCUAGGGCAUAGGCCGCAAGUGCGACGACCUAGAGCCCUUGCCGGUAGGGGGCCCAAAUUUUUUUAAGGUAGGGGUGUUUAUAGAAAUAUUUGGAUUUUAGGGGGUAUAUAUAGUAAAAUUCUCUGAAAAGGCCCAAUCUUUGACAUGUUAUAGAAAUGGGCUGAAAUCUAUUAAUUGUUUUUUGCCCUAUUAGUGAGAUUCACUAUAUAUAUCCUAUGCAGCACAAAAAUUUCUAUAUACACCCUCCUAUAAUUUUUUUUGGAUGUUCUUAAUAAUAUGCUUGAAAAUUUAUUAUCGAAGAAAUUAGUGAUAUUUUAUUGGGCCCUUUGUUCUUAAUAAUGUGUUUCACUAAUAUUAAAAAUAUCGACGAUAUUUAUUAUCCAAGAAAUUGAUAUAAUUUUCAUUACAAAGCAAAUUCUAUUUUAUUUGAUAAUGGGGUGCUAAAAUUUCAGUCUACUUCGCAUGUGCUAUUUUUCUCUACUUGUACGAUAUUUCAUUUUGUUUUGGUGUAUAUAGAGUAUUUAAUUUAUUUUCAGAUGUUAUCUAAAAAACAUUUAUUUGGUAGUGAAAAGCGAAAUAAAAAAACAAAAUGAAGAGUUAAAAAAACACAACAAUGACCUAAAAAAAAAUAUAAUGUAUUAUGUAAGGGCCCUAUUUUUAUAUUAUGCCUAAGGCCCGUAAUACGCUAGGAACGGCCCUGUCGAAAUCUCUAAGUCGAACCUCAUGAUAUGAGUUUAAACCUCGACACGUUCACUUAUGGGUUUACAACAAUUUUGUCAUUUUUUCUAUAAAAAAGGUUCUAUUACUUUUUUUCUUUUUUGUCAAAAAAACAAAACACAUUUGUCUUUGUUUCAUUUUUAGUUUUCUUUAUGUAGCAAAUGAGGAUGUAUUCUAAACCUUAGCCCUUUUUUGACAUAAUAGGCUAGACCUAUUGAUUUGGAUACCAGUAGGCCAAUAUAAAAAAUCACGGUUCAAUAAAAUAAUAAAAAAGUGUACAUUUUUACAUGUGGUACAACAUAUGCAAGAAAUUUAUCAUAAGAUUAACGUAAAAAAAAAAAUUAUCAUAAUAAAUAUUUUCUAAUUCAAUACAAAAAUAUGAUAAGCAUAUAAAUUAGUUAGGGUAAAGGAUAUUUUUUUUUAUAUAAUUUUAUUUCUCUUCAUAUUUUAAUUUUAUUUCAUUUUAAUUAUGUUUUGAAACAUUUUUAUGUAAAUUGUUUUCGUCACUACAUUAUUUCUUCUUCUUUACUAAUGUCACGGGCUUUGAAAAAUCGAACCCAGUCCAAAUUUCCAACCCAAAAGCCCAAAAUAUAUGACCCGUUGAAAAAACACGAAAGCGAAAAACCCCAAUUGCAUAAACCCUAAAAAAGAGACGGUAGCAGCUGAAGAAGAAGCAGCAAAGCAAAACGAAACGAAAAAAUGAGACCUUUGGACGAGACAGAAACGAGCGUGGUUUUCGAAAAGCUCUUCAAAUUCGUAGGAAACAACCUCAAAAACCUCGUUGAAAAUCCCUCACACGAAGGUCCCGAUUCAAAUCCUGGUCGCUACUGUUUCCGUCUCAACAAGAACAAAAUCUAUUACUGCAGCGAAUCCCUCGUCAAGCGUGCCACCAACAUCGCUAGACCUAACCUCGUUUCACUCGGAACGUGUAUCGGAAAAUACACACACGGUGGAAAUUUUCAUCUCACCGUUCAGGCGCUGAAUUUACUUGCUGCGAAUGCCAAGCAUAAGGUAUGGCUUAAACCACAAUCUGAGAUGUCGUUUUUGUAUGGGAAUCAUGUGUUGAAGAGUGCGUUGGGUCGGAUUACGGAGAAUAUUGUUUCUGGUGAUGGGGUUGUUGUUUUUUCUAUGUCUGAUGUGCCUUUGGGUUUUGGGGUGGCUGCUAAGUCUACACAGGAUUGUAGGAAGUUGGAUCCUAAUGGUAUUGUUGUGCUUCAUCAGGGUGAUAUUGGAGAGUAUUUGAGGAUUGAGGAUGAGCUUUGAAAAGUUUUAAAUUUUGGGUUUUUUUUAUUUUUUAUUUUAUGAAAUUUGAGUCGUGGGUUAUCGUCGUAAUGGUUUAUCUUUCUCUCUAUGUAACUGGGUCUUUUAUUUUUAACGUGGAUCACUGUAAAAGUUAUUCUCCCUUAUUUUUGAAUGUUAUGAAAUUUUGUUUGAAGUAUUAUUAUAGUGAUAUGGUUACAUUUUCACCCUGUCAAUUACGUUCUGUUUGGAUUUAAUUAUUUGAGUUUGUGUAAGCAACUUGUGACACUAUACGGAAAUGUUGAUAUGCUGUUUUCAACUUAGUCCCGUAAGAUCUCCAUGAUAGUUUAUGAUAAGUAAAGUAGUUUGCUUAUUUGAAAACUGUUUGACUUUAUUUCAUCUUUUGUUAUAGAAAUUGCUUAUGCAUAAGUACUUGUAUGAUAAACACUUGAUUAAGCUGUUUAUCCAAACAGUGUUUUUAUAUACUUAGUACCUACUCUUUUUGCUUGGGCUUCUGCCCCUGCAAUUCACCAAAAAAAAAAUCUACUCUUUUGCUUCCUUAGUCCCUUGAGAUUGGUUUGAUGAUUAAGUUCCUCUUUUUUGUCGGGAUCUCAUUUUAUGACUAAGAAUUGGUGUAAUGUUUAUGAGUUGGGUAAUAACUAGCUCUUGCAUCCGCCAUGGUUUACGCAUUUAGUUUAGUUGAACUCUUGUAAUAGCAUAAACGCACCUUCUAAUUAGAAGUACACUUUAGAUGUAGCGGUAUAAUUAGAAGUACACUUUACAGUUUAGAUGUUGCUAUGUUAACCUCAGAUUCAUUUAGGUGUUAGCCACAAGUCUUCUGUUUAAGCAAAAAAGUGAUGUUUUAUUCUCAUUUCUGGUAUGAUUUACUGUAGUAUUUACUACUUAUGUUUCUCCUGCAUUAGUUAGAAUAUAUGAAGACUUAGAUUUUACAUGUUAACUUAAUCUAUUGUUUGUGUUUUUUUUCUGUCACGAUUGAAGUUUGGGGCAUAUCAAAUGUUGACUUGGCGAUCUUAGUUUUUGGUUAUGGUAUAAUCCAGAUUGUGUGUGGUGUCAGACUAAAUCAAUGAACUUCUUGUGCUAAUUACAUGUUAUCUGAACAUUGUUAACUCAAACUAUUGUUGUCUUCUUUUUCUGUCAUGAUUAAAGUUGGGGGCAUAAUCAAAAUGGUGACUUGAUGAGCUUAGUUUUUACAUAUAUGUUAUAAUCAAAAGGGUGGCAUAUCCCGACUAAAUCAUUAAACUCCUUGAUGCUUACUACAUGUGAUUUGUACAUUGUUAACUUAAACUAUUGCUGUAUUUACUUUUCUGUCAUGAUUACCACAGAGGGCUCUCUUUUGCCACAAAGUUUUAACAAUUGAGAUACUUAAAUGCAGUUUUGUAUUUGUUGAUUUGCGAAGUCAACCUUAGAUUCAUUUAGGUGUUAGCCACAUGUCUUCUGUUUAAGCAAGAAAAUGAUGUUUUAUUCUCUAUUUCUGGUAUGAUUUACUGUAGUAUUCACUAUUGAUGUUUUUCCUGCCUUAGUCAGAAAGAAUAUAUGCAUUUCUCACUGCUUAGAUUUUACAUGUUAAAUUGAACUAUUGACGUGUUCUUUUUCUGUCAUUAAAUUGAACUAUUGACAUGUUCUUUUUCUGUCAUGAAUGAAGCUUGGGGAAUAAUUGAAUGGUGGCUUGUCAGCUUAGUUUUUGGUUAUGGUAUAAUCGAAAUGGUCGGACUAAAUGAAUGAUCAUUACUCUGUGACUGUUGUAAGCAUCCAAUAUGAUGAUGGGUGGGUAAUAUCAGGUUAGUUUAAUCACUCUUAAGCUACAUAGCAUUGACCACUAAACCAUCCUCAUUGGUGCUGGAAGAAAAAAAGCUGAUUGGUGCGCUCAGUGAUAUAUAGUGAGAUGAACUGUUACAGAAUUAUCUUUUACCUAAAAGAUGACAUCCUCCCCAAGACUUAUAGCAAAGGUGUUAAUUCAAACACAAAUCUCAAAACCUAGAAGUUUGGUCUUGAUUGGGGAUGUGAUGCACCCGGACAACGUAGAGGUCCGAUUCUGUAUUUAUCGAAAUUACCACACAAUAAAAUAGGUGUCCUUGUAACCUUGUGGGAGCAUGUAGCUCAGUUAAUAGAGAAUCAGGGGUUGAAUCCAAAGUAUCUCUUCAGUAGUAUUAGGCAUAGUUCAAUCAACUUUUUGAUGGACAUGGCCUUCAAAGCCAGCUUUUGAAUCCCCAAAUUCUGAAAAGUAUUACAUGGUUCAAACUGAGUUUUGGUUCUUGUUAGACCAACUCCUCAACAACAUUGAUAUUGAACCAAAACUCAUUUUGAGCCAUGUUAUACUAAUACCCCAAAUCCAAGUUAAGGAUAUCCUAUGAAUGAAUCUAUACCCGAGAUGUGUCAAUAUGGGUCUUGAUUCAUGAGUCGAUCCUACCUAGUUUGACUCCGUGAUGGGUUGAGUUUGAGAACGCUGACCAAUUUUCUCUAGUUAUUUUGACCCUGCUCAGUUAGGUACUGUUUACUUUGUAAAAAUGUGAACAAGGAGCAAUAAGACUUGUUAAAUUUAGCCACUUGAUGGAUAGAAAAUAAAACGAUAGCUAAUGAUGAUGCAUUUAAGGAAAUAAUAAAAAUAACUCUUUUGGCAUUUUUGUGUAUGGAAAUGCAAGGCAAUUGUUCACCUCAUGCGUCUCUUUUCUCCUUGUUCAUAUAUAUAUAUAUUUUUUUUUGUUACAACGUUGUUAAUAAUUAAAACUAACACAAAUUUUAAAAAAUAAAAAUAAAAAUGACCUUGUUAUUAUUUAUAUAAGUUAUUCAUCUCAGUAAAUUGUGAAAAACUGAAAUGGAUCGUGAAUAAAAUGAUUUAAUUUUGUGUCGCGAGAAAAAUAUUGAAUUGGAUAGCAAGGCAAGAAAACAGAACAUAAUCACAACCUAUUAUUUUAUUGUGGUUUUAAUUUUUAAACCUUUAAUAUGGGACCAAUUUAAAAAGAAAAUAAACAGGAACACAAACAUCGUAUAGUUAUUCUAGAUUCUUUAUUUGGAAGUACCUGGCUAAUAUCCACUUGCUCAGUCAAGCAUACAGCAAAUUAAAGAAGAGAAAUAAUAUGAUUUGGGUCCUGACUCAAGAGUCGACACUGUUCCACAACUUAGCUCACUUAAAUUGUGCAGUAAGUUGGUUUUGAAACGGGUUGGCUCACUUAAAAAAAUUCUAACAUUUUUUUUCUUCAUAAAAUGUAAUCUAUUUUAACUUCUUUUUUAUAUUUAAGUGGUCCAACUAUGAAAAGAAAAGUCACUUAAAAAUUAAACAAGGAGUGGUUGGGAAACUUUUUGAUCAACCUAUGGUGGAUUUAUUCACUUAGUUUGAUGUCAAUUGUCAUUUUUUUUUUUAAUCAAUAUGUAUGUUGAGAAGGGAUCAAUUAAUAUUGUGUAACACUUGUGUGAUAUUACACCGUCGAUAACGUUUUAUUAUUUACAUAUUUUACAAAACUUAUUUUUAUUUUGGUGGUGGACGAGGUUUGAACCUCGAACUUUGCAUAUAUUAUGCAUUGUCCCUAUUAACUAAGCUAAGCUCACGAUGACACAUAUUUUACAAAACUAACAGUUGAAUUGAGAGUUCAAAUGAUAUAGAUCAUUUUUAUAAUUUAGUAUGGAAAUUUAAAAUCAUUUGAUGUACAUUGAAAUGUGUCAAAAUUAAAGUUUUAUUCAAAGCUUAAGAUUUUAAGAUGUCAUCUUGAAGCACCUAAUUUGAUUCCUCAUCGUUUACGUUUUUUAAAUUUCACACAAAUAUGCAAAUUUUCCAAUCCACAAAAUCACUAAUUACUGAAUACUUUAAUUGUGGUAUUUAAAAAAGUAAAACCUUCUAGUUUAUACAUUUUCAUUUUUUUGGUACAAUAUGUAUAUUCUUACUGUUAAAACAUUUCAUUGUUUUACUAUUCUACUUUUUUAUGGGUUGUUAAUUAGUGCCUCUGGAACACUAAUUAACAAAACAAAACUGUAUAGAAAAGAGUAUUUUUGACACCUUUUAAAGUUUGUCCGCAGAAGUUUCAAAAUAUGUUUACUAUAUAUAUAUAUUUUUUUUAACUUGUGUGAUAGAAGUAUUUGUUAGCAUUUUUUUAUAUCACAUGAAAAACUUGUAUAAUUCAUAGAUGCUUUUCGACACAUAAGUGUCAUGCUAGAAUUUCGGUUUAAAUAAUAUUUGCUGUUUAAAAAAGAAAUAUAUUGUGCUUUUUUAGUUGAGCAAUGAUAUUUGUACAUCCAUUUCAUGACAACUUUAGUGACAACUUUGUUUCUCUCUCUUCUUAUUGGUCAAAAACAAUGGAGAGAGAAAAAGGAAGAGAGAGGAUAAGACCAUCAUGUGAGUAUAUGAGAGAGAAAGUUGAACAAAAGUUGUCACAAAUUGAUUGUACAAAUAUCAUUUCUCUUUUUAGUUUGUUUUAAGCGCCCUACCCAAAAGAAGUCCAUGUGUCACGUAGUGUAUAUGUACAUAUGUAGUGUGGCCAAUGGGGAUUCAAUGCAUUUCUCUUCUCUACAUUAAUUUCACGAGCCAAAAUUUCAUUUCAUGGGUUUCAUGUAUAAGUUUCCGUUAUUCCGUGAGUGGUUAGUUGUAAGACGCAACUCAACGUAAUGUCCUCCAAUGACCAAUCCAUCAACUUUCUCAUUUUGUUCUUUCCGACUUCCUCGUUCUGCUUCUUUUUGUGAAUGUCAAUUUGGAUAAUUUCACAUUCCUAGUGACUGAAUAUCAGCUUUUACUUUUAGUCUUUUGGAGUUCUCCUUUUCAUGACUCCAAUAAUUGAUUACUCCUUUUCUCCACUGCUCAAUUGGAUUUAGUUGAGUUUCUUCUCUUUUUGCUUUUUCAUCAAUUUAACUUAUUCAUCGUAAACGAGGUUUCUUAAGACGAAAGGUAUGACACCCUUGUGGAGAACCAAAAAAAAAAAACAAGAAAGGGUAAGAAUAUCUCCUACACAUGCAUUUAAAAAUCAACGAAAUGAUCGAUAAACAUGAUAUAUCAAUUUAAAAACAAACUUACACUGACCAAAAAAAAAAAAAAAAAAAACUAUUAAUAACAAGACAUUAAUUGUCCCUUCAAAAAAAACAAGACAUUAGUUGCAUUUUUUUUAGGGAAGGCAUUAACUGAAUUUAACAACAAUCAUUCAAUUUACAUAAUUUAUGCGUCUUUUCUGUUAACAAUUUAUUUGUAAAUUAUGAUAUUCCUUUUCUUUUUUUUGGUGUUCGGGUUUGAACCCCGAACCUUGUAUAUAUUAUGCAUUUUUUCUUACCAAUUGAGCUAAGUUCACAAGGACAUGAACAAAUAAAUCACAAUUAAAAAAAUAAAUUAAAAAUCUAAAAUUGAUGUAAAUAAUUUGAUAUUUGAUCUGCUCGGUAGGGAUCAGAUAGAGGCAACGGUUGUGUGCGGUGUUUCGGCACAUUGGCAGUGUAGUCUCUACGACAGAGUGGAAGGUGCAUGCGAACACGUUAGCACUCAAAUGUCCAAGUCAGUAUAAAAAAUGAGGUUGAAUAUGCCUAAGUGUGUGUGAGAAUAAAUUUCCUUAUAUAAUAAAAGUAGUGCUAACAGUUUCCGCGAAAUGCGGCGCCUCAUUAGGUAAGCAUUGGAGUCCACGUGUACGGUGCAGGAGAGACGAGGUCAUGUUCCAGGGCGGUGAUCCAUACCAGAACUAGCAUGCUCCCUUAGGUCGUUGUGCCCUCUUCCGCGGAGUUUAAUCCAUGUGGCUUCAUGGAUUAGGCGUUCUAGUCGGUCCAUAACAAUAUUAUAUAAAGAGAAAUUAAAAACCAAUUUUAUUUAUUUUUUAAAUAUUUUGAAUAAUGACGAGCUUACAUGAACAAAUAAUUUAACCGAUUUGAAAUUUAUUAAAAACCAAAUUUACCAUAAACUAAUUUUUUUUUUGAAAACUCGGUAUCCAAUCCAAGAAUCGACUAAUCCGAGGGGACCAAUCCCACCAGUCACUUGCGGGGGCCCCGUUUAAAGUCAGAGCAAGCUCUGUGUAGACUUAGCCCAUCAAAAUUGGCACCAGAGGGAAUCGAACCUGAGACCUCUGGAGGAGCAAACUCCAAGAUCCCUAGCCAACCACUAGGCCAACCCCAAAUGGGUCAAUACUUCUAAUAUGGAACUCUUGACACACCCGUCUCACGCCUAAUACUACACAUUUGGAGCUAACCCGGGUGACCGAUAGUAGAAACCUUAUAAAAUGUGGAUCAAUGAAUCUUAGAUAGACUAUAACCCAAGUGACCGAUAGUAGAAACCUUAUAGCAUGUGGAUCAAUGAAUCUUAGAUAGACUACAAUAUCAUAUUAAAAAUUGUGGUUGAGAUCUAACUCAACUCCAAAAAACUGGCUUCUGAGUUGGGGUAUGCCCGCUUGUUCAGACCAUCUCACUUUCGAUGUGGAAAUCAUAUAAGAGUUAUCAUCGCUUUUCUUUUUGAAUAAAAUUAAUGAAUAAAAACUUCCUCUUUGUAAAUGUAAUUAUCAUAAAUUGAUAAUUAAACAUUUGGUCGUUAAUAAAGAAAAUAUAUAAGCAAACCAAAAUAGAAAGAAAAUAUAUGAAUAAUUUUUACACUUAGACACCACAAAAAAAACAUAAUGAUUUGGCAAAAUAAAAAAACUAAUACAUUGCGAAUACAUUUUUUUAUUUUAUUUUUGAGAAAUACAUAGCGAAUACAUGACAAAUAUUAGUAACUGAUUUUGUAAAAAAUAAUAAUUAGUAAUUGGAUACAUAAUUGUAAAUGUAAUAGCUCAGUUGUUAUGGAUAAUGCAUAAAAUAUGUAAGGUCCGGGGUUCGAACCCUGACCACCACAAAAAAAAUAAAAAUUAAUCAUCAUAAAAAAAUUGAAUAACAGAAUAUAUGAAUAAAAACUUUCUCUUUAUAAAUGCAAUUACCAUAAAUUGGUGAUUAAACAUUUGGGCGUUAAUAGAAAGAAAAUAUAUAAGCAGUCCCCAUGAACUUAGACAAAAAAAGAAAGAAAAUAAAUGAGCAAAGCAAAAAAGAAAGCAAAUAUAUGAAUAAUUUAUUUUUGAAGGCAUAUAUACGAGUAAUUUAAUAUUCUUUCUAAAAGUGUUUGCGAAUAUUUCGCGCGGACCAGACCUACUGCAUAUUCUGUCUAUAAAUACAAACUUGUCAAACCAUUUUCGUUGCCUGAGAAAGCCACCAACAAACACCAUGAAAAGGUUUAGCAAUAACCGUCGUAACCUUGAAUACAUUUUCCACUUGUUCAACCUUUUUGCCACUCUCUUGCUUUUUUGGCACUUCUCUUUUUUCACCAUCGCUCUCAAAUCCUUUACUCAUCUCUACGCUAUUUCCAAAUCCCUCUUUAGUAACUCUUUCUUUGUUUUUCUCCUUCUCCAUGUUAUCAUUCUCUCUAUAUAUAAACUCUCCAACCAAAACGAUGACGUUUCCACCGCUGUCUACAACCAAUGUCUUAAAAUAACCUCUUCAUCGGAGUUAGUUACUGCCGACACCGAUUACCAAUGUUUUAAAAUUACCCCAGAGGAUCCCGUAGAGUCUUUGCCGGAGAAACAAAAACAAGAUCCGGUAGUGUCUUCGUUUGUUACCGAUCGCGUGGAGUCUUGGCUGGAGGCACAACAAAUUUUUUGCAAUUCGGAAGUUGGAGAUUCGUCUCUGAUUUCUGAGGAAACUGUCGUAGAGGAACAUGAACCUGUCAUGGCGGUUACUGAGACCACGACAACAACGUGUUGCACGACCGUGACAACUACUGGAGAUAAUAAGGUUUCGGAGGAAAAGUGUUACCGGAGAGUUCAAUCGGAGUGUUAUGAACGGAGUCUGGUGGCGAAUAACCCGAGAGAGUUGAGGAGAUUCGACACAUGUUUGAAGAAGAAGGAACCGCAGAGGAGUUUGUGUUAUGUUGAAGAAUUGAGUAAAGAGGAGUUCAAGCGCACGGUAGAUGAUUUCAUUGCUAAACAUAAGAGGAUGAUGCAAUCGGAGGAACGAGCACGGUCUCAGAAAACAGAGUAUUUGGCCUUGACUCCAUAUUAGGAAUUUAAUUUUAAUAAAAUAAAUUAAUUUUAGAGAUUAGGUAAUUUGAUGUGGAUUCAUGGUCUAUUUUAUUUUACUCUUUCAAUACGUAAUUCUAAUAUUUGAUCCCAUUCAAUGAAUAUAUAUAUAUAUAUAUAUAUAUAUAUAUAUAUAUAUAUAUAUAUUCCACUCCUGUUACUUUGGUUUGAUAAUGUGUUUGGGAGUUUCUACGGUAUACCCUUAAAUUAAGGUGUACCGGUACACCUAUUUCAUAAUUCAAUAAGUUAACAAUCAUUUUUAUGUAAUAAAGAGAUGUUUAUCGACUUUUAUAUUUUAAAAAAUAUCAUUUCAUAAGAAAAAACAUCAUUUCAUCAUUUAUAAGAAUCAUACUAAUUUUUUAAACAUUUUAUCCAAAAAAAAAAUAAUCAAUAUUCAAUAAUAUGAGUAUUAAAAAUUAAAAAAAAUUUGAGGACACUUUUGAAAAAUAAAAUAUAAUUAUUAUAAUUGUAACUAAUAGAAAAUAUAUUUUUUUAAGAAAAAAAUAUUCAUUAAACUAUUUAUUUAAUAUAUGGGUGUAGCGGUACACUCAAUUUUUUUGAGUGUACCGUAGAAAUUGCCAAUGUGUUUUUCUUUCAUGUUAUGUUUUUUCAUAAAUCCAAGCCUUCAUAUGAUUUUUUUAUUUAAUAUAAUGUAUAUUGUGGUUUUGUUAUUUAGUAGGAGGUCUAGUUAUUGGUGUGAUUAAACCUUCCUACAAUUUCGUUAUUUAGUAGUAAAUUUAUUCGUGUGCUUUAGGUUAACAUAAGUUUUGGUCUAUUUAGUAAUAAGCGUUAUGUAAAGUAAGCUUUUAAAUAGGAUCUUAGGUUUCAUGACACCUUAAAAAAAAAUCAGAUCAAACUUUAAAAAUAAGCCUAUGACGAGCAAUAGGUCAGACUCAGAUCUAUAAUUUUUUUUAAGCAGGUCAGACUUAAGCUUUUAAAACUCGGCCUAACCCAUUUCCAUCCGUAAACAAUAGCUAUAGGAAAAUAUACUCAUUAACGAUAGCAAUAUUUUUCUUAAAAAAAAAAAAAAGCAAUAUUUCCUUAAAAAAAGCAAUUAGCAAUAAUAUUAUGGAGAAGAAACUCCUUUUUUUUUUUUAACGAUUGAUGCGCAGCAGAAUUAUUGGAAUAUUCUGAGUGAUUUUUUUAUUUUUUUUUAAAUAUACUCUGAGUGAUUUUCGAUUGCCCAAUUAAUAGGAAAGAUUUCGGUUUAUUGAUGGAAACAAGUGACGAAUUUGUUUUGGUAUGUUUAUUGCCUUUUUCUAGAACCAAUUAUUUUUUUGACUGCACCAUGGAAGCUCCCUUAACAUAUAUCACAUUCCUUAAAAAAAAAAAAAAAAUCACAUAAAUCAUAACAUAGGGAUAUGCAAUUUUCUGAGUUUUUAACCCACUUUGUUUGGUGGCAUAGUGAGUGGUGAUGUCUAUUUGGGACUUAAAGUGUGUCUCAAAGAUCCAUAUAUGAUUUUAUCGUGUAUCAAUCUGGAUGUGGUAGUUUAACUUCUUAACAAAAACAAUUUCGAGAGAAUACAAUCAAUUUUGCUAAUUUUUUACUCGGUAUUUUCUCACUCGGUAAACAAACUAAAUUACAAGAAAUAAAUAAAUGAACAAACUAACAAAAACAAUUCUUCUUCCUUCAAAAAAAAAAAUAAAUAAAUAAAUUCUCAGGUACCGUUUGACCCGGUUUUUUUUCCAGCUUUUCUACGUUUUUAAGGAGAAGCUAGGCCAAACACAAUAUCAAUAAAGUACCUUCGAAAAAAAGUACUUUUUUUAGAAUGCAUAAAAUUGAAUGGAAUGAGCUUUAACCAAAAGUUGUUGAAUGCUACUUCAAAAAACUAUUUCUCCCCCAAUUUAUUUCACAAGCACCUCUCUUCAACUCCCGCGGGCAACUUUUUGUUUUAUUUUUUCAAUAUGCUUUUUUUUUUCCAUUUUAUUUUAUUUUAUUUUUUUGGGUUAAAUAUAUUUUUGGUCCCUAUAAAUAUACCAACUUUUCGUUUUAGUCCCUCUAAAAUUUUCCUUCAACUUUUAGUCCCUAUAAAAUUUUCAAUCUUUACUUUUGGUCCCUCGUUUAAAGUAAACUCAUAUGUAGAAUUCAUAUUUUUAAAUAAAAAUUUUCAGAAAAAUGUAUAAUAUUAUAAGGAUCUCUCCCAAAAAAAUUUAGAAUUUUUUACCAAAACAUGAAAUAAAUAUGAAUUUUUAUAUUUUUGGCUGUAAAAUAUUCAUAUUUAAUUCAUGUUUUGUUAAAAAAUUCUAAUUUUUUUUGGGAGUGAUUUUUACAAUAUUUCAUAAAUUUCUGCACAAUUUCAUUAAAAAAUUCAAUAAUUUACUUUAAAAUAGGGACCAAAAGUAGUGAUUGAGAAUUUUAUAAGGACUAAAAGUUGAAGGAAAACUUUAGAGGGACUAAAACGAAAAAUUGGUAUAUUUAUAGGGACCAAAAACAUAUUUAACACUAUUUUUUUUUAACCGGUCCAUUUAAUUUUUUAAUGAGGUUCCAUUUAAGUUUAUUAUCUAUUUUUUUAAGGAAUUUUAUUAUAUUUUUAUCAAUUAUAUAUUAAUUUCAAUAUAUUUUGAUAAUCACAACCUCGCAAAUAUUUGUAUUCACGCUGUCAAUAAAUGACACGGAAUAUUUUUAUUCUCUUUCUUCAAUCACGAAAAUACACACACACACGUUAGCGUUUAGAGUAAUAUUUUAUGUUCCUCUUUCUGUUUUUUUUUUUGUUAUGCUAAUGCGUAUAAUUUUUGUUAGUGUUGUGUAAUGCGUAUAAUUAUUUUUAUAAAAUUUUGAUUUUAAUUAAAAGUACAAGUGUAGUUGCCUAAAAAAAUUAUACUUAUAUAUUUUACACAUUUGUAUUGUAACAAACUAUGCAUAUCUUUUUCUUAUUAAAAAAAAAAAACAUAUCUUUUUCAAUGACACCAACAAUGUAACAAAUAUAAUAUUAUAUAAUAUAAAUUCUUAUAUUUUUGACCAAAACUAAAAAUAUGGUAUUCUUAUAACAAAAUUUGUUAUAACAAAAUUUGUUAUAGAGUAUAAUUGGAAAAGAUAUUGUACAAAUUUGUAGUCAUGUUACAUAAAAUAAACGUCAUUGAGUAAAUAUAGUAUUAGUAAAAAUAUAUCUUUUAUAUUUUAAACAUUUUUUCCCUUCAAAAAAUAUUUUAGACAUUUUUUUUAUUUAUUAUGUUAAUUCAUAAUGAAUUUAAAGUUUUUUUAUUUAUAGACAAUGCAUAAAUAAAUAUAUGCAAGGUCCCGGGUUCGAACCCCAGACACCACGAAAAAAUUAUAAAUUCAAAGUUUUGUACAAUAUUUUGCCAAACAGCUUUUAACUCAAAAAUAACUUUAGAACUAAAAAAAAAAUAAAGAAAUCAAACAGUUUUAGUCUUUUUCUUAAAGAGCUUUAUUUUAACUUUGUUUUAAAGUAGCUUUUAGACCGAAAAAAAGCCUGACCAAACUAGUUAUGAGAGAAUAACAUCAAUUUUGCUAAUUGUUUUAUGAGGUAUUUUCUCACUCUGUAACAAACUAAAUUAUAAGAAAUAUAUAAAUGGACAAAACUUGUGUAUUUUUCAUAAGGUUCUUAACUAAACAUAUAUAUAUUUUUAAAACACAUAUAUUCUUUUUAAAAAAAAUUAUGAAUAAUUUAGUGACAUAGCACCUACAAAGAUGAACCUAAGUUUUUUUCCUAAAUAAUUUGUUAACAUUGGUAAGCCAAAAUAAAAAAAAAUUGGCAGGCUAUCAUGUACAUCAUUUGGUCAUUAUUAUAAAUAAAAAUCAACAUUUUAGAUUAUUUAUUGAAUGAUGUUUGUAGUCUAAAAUAAUAACAUCAUUGAUUGAAUGAAUGUAAAAUAUAGAUUUUUGUUCAUAACAGUUGCCGGAGAGUGUAGUUUUGAAGAAAAGUAUGUAUACAAAAUAAAAUGUCUUAUUGUUAAUCUUAUUUUGACGUUGGUCCUCAAUUUUAAAAAUCGAUUUUUGGAUUUAACCCUACUUUUAAUUUAUUUUUUUUGGAUUUUGGGUCCUUCUCAUUUUUGUGUCAUUUUUUAUAAUGUGGUAUAUAUAUAUUUGUUGCAUCACACUGAAUUUUCAUGUCAGCAAAAAUAUGCCUUAUAAGCCUUGCCCUAUUACACUGAAUCACACUAUAAAAAAUGAUCCAAAAGAGAUGAAUGACGAAAAUUUAGAAGAAAAAAUAGUUAAAUUGGAGACUAAAAAAUUGAUUUUAAAAAUAAGAAGACCAAAACAUCAUUUUCUUUUUAAAUAGAAAGACCAAAAAUGCAUUUAAACAUUACUUUUUUAACAUUUUUUCUUUUCUUUUCUUUUUUAUGCUUCCAGGAACCCAUUUGUUUUUUUAUAAAAAAAAAAGAAGAAAAAUAAUAUAAUUCAAAAUUAUAUAAUACAAUCAUUUUAGCUGGAGAGAAUCGGAUUAAUUGGAUAAAAAAAAAAACACGAUCACAACUAGUUACACUCAACUAGUUACAAAUCCGUGCUUCGCACGGGUUCAAUAACGUAUUUGAUAAAAAAUUUCUUUGAAAGAAGAGAUGUUAAAACGACGAAACAUUAUGAUUCAUCAUAAAAUAUGUAUGGGCUGAUUAAGAGAGAAUAUAAUCAGUUUAUGAGAUUAAGAAUUGAAAUAAUAUUUAGGAUGGAAACAAUUGGAACCAAUAAAGGAACCAAUGAUGUGUGAAUUAUGAUUACAUAUUAUCCAAAAUUAUAAAAAAGAGUGUUGCUGUUAUAGAGUUACCAAAAAAGGAUUGAUACUCAUAUUUACAUCAGAUGAAAUCAAGCAAAGAAGUAGCAUCAGUGAGUGAAGAUAAUCCAGUCUAGGAUUAGAGUUAAGGUGAUAUGUUGAAAGUACGGAUCAUGAACACAUAAUCUUUAUUUGGGAACGACUUGAACGUGCAUAUUUUAAGGUGGCUUCUCUAGAUCAAAAAUUAGCUUAUCACCUACCUCUAACAUAUGUUCUCGGCAAAAGUUGAACCAUUGACCGCCUAAGUAUUUUUCGUAACUUGCUCUCUUUGCCGUUAUCAAGCGACAGUUAUACCUUUUUUGAGCUUGUUUGCUGACGAUUGUGAUUGUUUUCCAUGUUCCUUUUAGAAAUGUCCUUGAUAUCUAAUUUGGGAAGUGCUAGGUACAAAACAAAUUGCAGUGCUAAUUGGAUGUUAUAUAUAUAAGUACAUUUCUAAAACAUUUACCAAAGCAUUAUAAAGAUUUGUUGUAGGAAAAGAGCAUGUUCUAUGUUGUUCAAGAGAUUAGGAAAACAACAUUAUAAUUAACAUGAUACUAAUUGGAACAAUGAAGAAACCAACAAUGUGCAGAUUAACGUUACAUAAUAGUUAGGUUUAUAAAAGAGACUGCAAGUGUCAUAGACUAACCAAAAAGGGAUUUUUGCCAAUAUUUGCAUCAGACAAAAUGAAAAGAACAAAUGGCAUCCCUAAGUCAAGAUAGUUUACGAUUACAGUCCAAAGCGAUACGUCAAAAUAGUAGAAGUUCAAAUAGUUCAGCAGCAAAGAUCUACUUUGGAACAACUCGAACGUGCAAGUUCAUCAGCGACUUUUCGAGAUCAAUAAUGAGCUUACCACCUUCUUCCUUCACACUUUCUUUGCAGAAAUUGAACCACUGUCCACCCAAGUAUUUUUCAUAGUUGUUACAUCAACUAUAUUCCCACUGCAUAAAGAAAGACAUCUUUCAGGUCAUUACCAAACUUAUACAAAAUCCUAUCAUCUGAUGCUGACAAAUAAGAAAAUAAUACCUUUUAUCUUUCAACACAAUGUUCGUACACAGUUUCUUUCCAGUCCCAAUUGGCGUUGUCUUGACAAUCUCAUGAAGAAGCCCGAUGACUUCUUUAAAAAAAAAUUACAUAUAUAAGAACAUUAUAAUUGGAGAAAACACAUAAAUAAAUUAAAGCACAUAACUAUAUCAUAUAAAACGUCAGUUUUGAAUUUUCCAUCUUGAAUUUCCUUAAAUGACUUAAAGCGAAAUUCAUGAGUAAGAACGUUAGUUAACUUGUCAUACUUCUGCACUUUUGUACUGGAACCAAAAAUAACCUUAAAUGAAUUAAAUGCAAUGUCAUUAUCAAACACAUGACAAUUAUACAAAGUAUAAGUCUUGUUUUCCUUGAUCAAAGCCUUCCAAUGCUCCAAUUCUCUAUAUCGAGUUAUUACAUGAACUCGAUCACCCUAAAUCCGAGAAAGAAACCAAAAAAUAUAAAUAAAUCAAAAUGUACACUAAUAAGUAACAUUGAUAAAUCACAAAGGAAAUUAUAACAAAUCUUAACUAACUCAUCUAACCUCUGCAUCACAAACAAUGAGCUUCAGAUGUUGAUUCUCAUUACUACCAGUCACAAUCCAAGAAUCCAACACUCCAAAUCCUAUUUUCCAAAUGUCCAAAUCAUUUUUGAGAUCCUUAAUGUAGUCAUAAUCCCUUGACAUUGAAAGUCCUAUAUAGAAAUACAAUAAUACAUCAAUUAAUUUUAUUCCCUUUGUUCAUUCUGAUAUCGAAAGAAGUUAACAUAUUUCUAUGUGAUCAAUUUAUGUAUCAUCAAAUCAACCUGAUCUUAAAUGCACAUAUUUCUGUUUCAUCAACUUUUUGGACAUCAAUGAUAUGACCAAAACUAAUUUACACCAAUCAACUUUCGUACGGCUCAAUGAUAUAGGAAAGAAUAAACCAAAUAUGAAAACUGUUACAGCUUUAGGAUUACUCACAAAAAGUAAAAUAACCCAUAUGCAUCAAUUUUUUUCAACUGCAGUACCAUAAGCUAAAAUAACAACAAUUGUGUCAAAACCUUACCAUGAACUAAAAUUCAAUCAUCAUGACCUCUACUAUACUCCACAUAACAAAGGAAAAAUUUUCUACAGUUAUGCAACAUAACAAUUUCUGGUACAUAAUCCACUAACAAUUGAAAAAAAAAACAAAACCCUUAAAAUGCAAAAUCGCGAAAAAAGGAAGAAAACCACCUAUGAUGAAGCAAAAACAAAAACAGUGUUGAAAAAUGAACCCCUCAAGCCAUAAAAAUCAGUCAACUCAAGUCAUGUAUGGUCUCAUACCAUGAAAAAAGGAAGAAAAUGACCUCUUAUGAAGAAGAAAGUGAAACAGUGUUCCCAGCUGAACUUAGAUACCGUUUGACCAAGGAUUUUUACGGUCUAAAAGUUACUUGAAAACAAAGUUAAAAUAAAGACCUUUAAGAAAGAAGCUAAAGUUAUUUGGUUUCUUUGUUUUUUUAGUUUUAAAGCUAAUUUUAAGUUAAAUAUUGUUUGACAAAAUAUUGUACAAACUUUGAUUUUUUUUUUUUAUGGUGUCCGGGGUUCGCAUGUAACGUCCUCUUUGAAUUAUUUGAUUUAUUUGAUUGUUUUAAUAGAUUUAUAAUAUAUUUAUAUGAUUAUGUGAUUUAUUAAGUGACUUAUUUUAUUAUUUAAUAGAAUAGAAUUUGAAAAUAAAAUAAGAUUAAGUUGUGGGGCUGUUUUGGAAUUUAGAAGAGUUUAGUGAAAAUAAAGGAAAUAAGAUAAAGUGGAUGGAGGAGAGAUAUAAGGAGGAAACUAGGUUUGGAAAAGUUUUUAGGUGAAACUGCUUUUUUGGAGAAAAAGGGAGAAAACAAAAGGAGAGGAGAGAGACCGCCGAUCAUCAAUACUAAGGUAAGGGUGUGACUAACAUUCAAUCUUCUUAAGCCUAUGAUUCUUGUGCUCUAAUUUACUGCUGUGAUUUUAGGUAUAUUAUUGUCUCUGAGUUUAUUAUUUUCAUCUGCUAGUUAGUUUAUGGUUAUGAUUCGGCCAUUGAAUUUGAAUCUGUCUGUGUUGCUUAAUAUUAUAUGAAUUAGAAUCGUGAGUUUAAUUUUGAAUCUACACGGUAAAUCACGUUUGAUCAUUGAGAAAAAUAAUAUUUGUCUGCACUCUUUGCUACUUAUUUGUGAUAGUAUUGUCAUCUAGUUAUGUGAGAGUCUGCAUGCAUUACUUGUGUUGUUGGUAUAUCGCCUAAGUUUCUCUAUUCCUUUUUAAUGUUCUGUUAUAUGGGAGAUAAAAGACACUUGUAAAGUUUAUUGAUAUAACUAAGCUAGGUUUAGACGGUCCUUUCUUUCAUAGGUGAAGAAUUUUGAAUUAUAUUAAAAUAACUUGUAAGCUUAGGGACUAGUCCUCUAUAUUGGGUGCUUCCGUGGAAAAUUUCUUGUUCGAUGCAAAAUUUCAGUCCCUGUUUACACAUAGCCUAUUAUUUAACUUGUUGUGACAUGUAAAAAUGUGAUACUAAAUUGUUAUAGUUAGAUAUAUGACAUGUUUCGUGUACUAAUACUUGUAUUUUAUUAAAGUGUGCUAUUGUCAUUAUAUUAUACUUGUGAUCUGUGCACUUAUUCAUAAGAAAAAGUGAGUUAUUUAGUGAUGUGUUAUUGAUGUGUUAAUUGACAAUGUAUAAUUGAUGAGUUAUUUAACGAAGUGUAAUUGAUGAAUUAUUUGAUUAAGUGUAAUUUGUGAAUUAUCUGAUGACGUGAAAAAAAUGUGUUAUAUAAAAAUGUGUUAUUUGAAGAUGUAUGAUUUAAAGAUGUGGUAUAUAAAGAUGUGCUAUUUGAAGAUGUGUGAUUUAAAGAUGUGUUAUAUAAAGAUGUGAUAUUUGAGGACAUAUGAUAUUAUGAUGCAAAGUCGCUGUCGAAGUCGUACAAGUUGUUGAAGUUGUCUAAGUUGCUAAGUUGCUAAGCUGUUCAAGUUGUAAGAUGUUGAUCCAAAUUAUUGGAGUCAUAUGAGAUGUCUUAAGUUGUUAAUGUUGUCUAAGUUGUUGAAGUCGUAGUUGAAUCUGUUAUUGGUGAUUGUUUAUGUUCAGGUGUUUUGUAAGAGGUGGUGUACUCUUACGUUGUUAUUCUUUAAGAGGUGGUGUACUCUUACNNNNNNNNNNNNNNNNNNNNNNNNNNNNNNNNNNNNNNNNNNNNNNNNNNNNNNNNNNNNNNNNNNNNNNNNNNNNNNNNNNNNNNNNNNNNNNNNNNNNNNNNNNNNNNNNNNNNNNNNNNNNNNNNNNNNNNNNNNNNNNNNNNNNNNNNNNNNNNNNNNNNNNNNNNNNNNNNNNNNNNNNNNNNNNNNNNNNNNNNNNNNNNNNNNNNNNNNNNNNNNNNNNNNNNNNNNNNNNNNNNNNNNNNNNNNNNNNNNNNNNNNNNNNNNNNNNNNNNNNNNNNNNNNNNNNNNNNNNNNNNNNNNNNNNNNNNNNNNNNNNNNNNNNNNNNNNNNNNNNNNNNNNNNNNNNNNNNNNNNNNNNNNNNNNNNNNNNNNNNNNNNNNNNNNNNNNNNNNNNNNNNNNNNNNNNNNNNNNNNNNNNNNNNNNNNNNNNNNNNNNNNNNNNNNNNNNNNNNNNNNNNNNNNNNNNNNNNNNNNNNNNNNNNNNNNNNNNNNNNNNNNNNNNNNNNNNNNNNNNNNNNNNNNNNNNNNNNNNNNNNNNNNNNNNNNNNNNNNNNNNNNNNNNNNNNNNNNNNNNNNNNNNNNNNNNNNNNNNNNNNNNNNNNNNNNNNNNNNNNNNNNNNNNNNNNNNNNNNNNNNNNNNNNNNNNNNNNNNNNNNNNNNNNNNNNNNNNNNNNNNNNNNNNNNNNNNNNNNNNNNNNNNNNNNNNNNNNNNNNNNNNNNNNNNNNNNNNNNNNNNNNNNNNNNNNNNNNNNNNNNNNNNNNNNNNNNNNNNNNNNNNNNNNNNNNNNNNNNNNNNNNNNNNNNNNNNNNNNNNNNNNNNNNNNNNNNNNNNNNNNNNNNNNNNNNNNNNNNNNNNNNNNNNNNNNNNNNNNNNNNNNNNNNNNNNNNNNNNNNNNNNNNNNNNNNNNNNNNNNNNNNNNNNNNNNNNNNNNNNNNNNNNNNNNNNNNNNNNNNNNNNNNNNNNNNNNNNNNNNNNNNNNNNNNNNNNNNNNNNNNNNNNNNNNNNNNNNNNNNNNNNNNNUUUAGGUGCUCUGAUACGUAACGGGAUGGAAACUUUGUUGCAUGCUUUUCUAUUCCUUACGUAUUGCUUAUGAAUUUACAUGAUUAAGUUGUUAAUUGAAUUUUUAUGAGAUACUUUGAUGAGGCCUUCGUGCCAAAAUUAUUUUAGAUGUUCGAAUAAAUCCCGCUGCGAAGUAUUAAAUAUUAUGUUGUUGAAUUUUGAAGGAUAAUUAAUUAAUUAUUCCGUUUAUGAUUUUAAGAAAAGAAGUGUGACAUUCCGUUUAUGUGAAUUACUCUGAUUAAAUAAAUGAAAUUUUUACGUUGGGAAAACAGGGUGUCACAUCGCACCUCGGACUUGGCAUAUAUUUAUGCAUUGUUCCUAUCAUCUGAACUAAACUCACGAGGACAAAACUUUGAAUUUAUUAUGAAUUAACAUAAUAAAUAAAAAAUGUUUAAAAUAUUUCUAAAGGCUAAAAAUGUUAAAAACUAAAAGAUAAUUUUUUUUUUACAAAUACUAUAUUUACUCAAUAACGUUUAUUUUGUGUAACAUGAGUACAAAUCUGUAUCAUCAUAUAAAUGACUUGUUAAAUAUUUGAAUAGGAGAAAUAAUUUAAGGAGCCUGAAAUAAUAACAUAAAUAAUAUCAAAAUAGUUGAUUUUUUCUAUUUCAAUUAUACUCUAUAACAAAUUUCAUUAUAAGAAUACCCUAUUUUUUGUGUCUUUCAAAAAGAUAAGAAUUUAUAUUAUAUGAUAUUAUAUUUGUUACAUUGUUGGUGUCAUGGAAACAUAUAUGUUUAGUUUUUUUGAAUAAGAAAAAGAUAUGCAUAGUUUGUUAUAAUAUAAAGGUGCAAUAUAUAUAUAUAUAUAUAUAUAUAUAUAUAUAUAUUAUAAGUAUAAUUUUUUUUAGGCAUCUAGACCUUUUUUGAAGAAAAUACUUCUACAAUUUUACUUUUAAUUAAAAUCAAAAUUUUAUAAAAAUAAUCAUACGCAUUAUGCAUAGCAAAAAAAAAUUAUACGCAAUAGCGGAAUAAAAAAUAGACAGACGUAAAGUAUUACUCUAAACGCUAAUGUGUGUGUGUAUAUUUGUGAGGUUGUAGAAAGAAAAUAAAAAUAUUUAGUAUCAUUAAAUGACAGUGUGAAUGAAAAUAUUUGUGAGGUUGUGGUGAUUAAACGAUAUUGAAGUUAAAUAUAUAAAUGGUAAAAAGAUAAUAAAAUUCCUUUGAAAAAAAGGUAAUAAAAUUAAAUGGGACCUCCUUAAGAAAAAAAUUAAAUGGAACGGUUCAAAAAAAUUAAAUGGAAGAAAAAAAAUAUUGAAAUAUAAUAUUAAAAAAUAAAAGAAAAAGUUCUCAGCGUGAGUUGAAAAGAGGUUCUUGUAAAAUAAAUUGUCGAGAAGUAGUUUUUUUAAAAACAACAUUCAACAACUUUUGGCCAAAGCUCAUUCCAUUCGAUUUUAUGCAUUAAAAAAAAGUACUUAUUUUAGUAAGUACUUAAUUGAUAUUGUGUUUGGCCUAACUUUUCCUUAAAAAUGUAAAGAAGUUGAAAAUAGCCGGGUCAAACGGUAUCUUAAUCUACCACAACCGCAAUGUAGAAGCAACUGAAUUUGGGAGAAAAAAUUGGAAAAUAAUUAAAAAUAAAAAAAUUGAAAAGUAGUUAAAAUUUUUUAAAAAUAUAAAAUUGAAAAAUAGUUAAAAAAAAUUGGUGAGGUAGCACUCAACCAAGCAACACUAAAAAAAAUUAUAUGCAUUAGCGUAACAAAAAACAGACAGACAUAAAAUAUUACUUUAAACGUUAAUGUAUGUAUGUAUAUAUUCGCGAGUUUGAAGAAAGGAAAUAAAUAUAUUUGGUAUCAUUAAAUGACAGCGUGAAUAAAAAUAUUUGUGAGGUUGUGAUGAUUAAACGAUAUUGAAAUUAAAUAUAUAAGUGAUAAAAAGAUAAUAAAAUUUCUUUGAAAAAAGAUAAUAAAAUUUCUUUGAAAAAAGAUAAUAAAAUUAAAUAGAACCUCCUUAAAAAAUUAAAUGGAACAGUUAAAAAAAAAUUAAAUGGAAGAAAAAAACAUAUUGAAAUAUAAUAUUAAAAAAUAAAACAAUGGUUCCCAGCGUGAGUUGAAAAGAGGUACUUGUGAAAUAAAUUAUCGAGAAGUAGUUUUUUAAAGUAACAUUCAACAACUUUUGGGCAAAACUCAUUCGAUUCAAUUAUAUGCAUUCAAAAAAAUUACUUUUUUAGUAAGUACUUAAUUGAUACUGUGUUUGACCUAACUUCUCCUUAAAAAUGUAGAGAAGUUGGAAAAAAAGUCAGGUCAAACGAUACCUAUAUCUCCUACAACGGCAAUGUAGAAGCAAAUGAAUUUAGGAGAAAAAAUUGAAAAAUAGUUAAAACCAUAAAAAUUAGAAGAAAAAAAAAGUUAAAAGUUAUUAAAAAUUAUAAAAUAAUUAAAAAAAAUUGUGAGGGGCAAAAUGGAAAAUGCAUCCAUAUAAUGGUGAGGUGGCACCAAACCAAUUUCUCCAAAUAGAUAAUUACCUAAAUGCCCUUAUAAAGGGCAAAAAUGUAAAAGACAAGGGAUUAAUAUUUAGAGUCCUUACACACCAACCACCAUAGGUGGCAAUCCCACCCAUAUACCACCUUUGUGUGGCAAAAAUUUUAUUAAAAAAAUUGGUAAAAUCCAUGUCACCCAAAAUUGAAAAAGAAAAAAAAAAAAGAAGACAUUUUCACUCGCCCUCUCAUUCAUAACAACAAUCUCUCGCCCUCUCAUUCCCCACUAUCACCGUACUCGUCCACAACUCACCACCGUUGAUUUCUAUCUCUUCCAUUUCCGGCAAUGACGCCAUCCCUUAUCUCUUCCGUUUCCGACAUCGGCGCCUCUCCGUUUCUCCCGUGCUAGAUCUACUACUUUUCUGUUUCAUUCCGUCCUCUAACCUCACCGUCUUGCCAUCACCAGCACCGCUUCACCACCACGACACACAAAACUGAGAUCUACAUCCCUUCUUCUCCGGUCACCACCACACCUCCUUGUUCAUCGGCAAGGCUUUUGUUGGUCGCCGGUUUAAGUGAGGAAGAGAGAGGAGCGGUAAUAAAGAGAAGAUGGACAAACAGUUAAAGAGAGGGAGAGUUUCACAGUGGUUAGGAGAGGGGAAAUCUACUAGAAUUAUUUUUUUAAGAAAAACGUGUGAGGGAGAAAGAUGAAGGACAAAGGUCAGGGAGAAAGAGGGGAAGAAGAUGACAAUGUGGGUGGAUGGCUAAGGCGGCGGUGGUGGAAGUUUUAGAGAAGAGAGAGAUCUGAAGAGGUGAGAAGAGGAGAUGAUGGUGUGCUAUGAAAAUACAAAAUUACCCCUACCACAUCAGUGGUGGUACAAAGUGUGUACAAAAUGAAGAUGUCUACCUAUAAUUUUUCUAAUAUUUAAUAUAUAGUAAGUAGACGAAUUUUAUAACUUAUAAGAAAGUAGCUGGUUAUUAUGCAGAGGCAUAUAUAGCCAAGCAUAAAACAAAAGAAGAAAAAUAAUAUUAUAUGGUCUUGUUUAUUCACAACCCAACAUAUCUUCUCUUAUAUUUUAUGUCCCCAUGGAACCAACCUUGUAUGUUUCUAAAACUGCACUUACCAUAAUCACUAAGCUAUAAAAUACACAGCUUCGAAUUAUUUUGAUUAGCACCCCCUUCCAACCAUACCGUACUUGAAUUAACACAUGACCCCUAAUACUUUGGAUUUGGAUUAUACCAAAAUUUACAUUAACCGGCACAUCUUAGCGUUGGAUUAAGCUAAGAUGGUUUUUAUUCAUCAGAUGUUAGAAUGAAUUUAUAACGAUCGAUCAGCAAAAUAAUAAUAUAACAGUCUGAAAUGAACUAAUACUUUUGUUUUCAAAGAAUUUAUUUAAAGAAUAUAGCUGACGGGCUUUCUUGUAUUACAAGUUAUGUUUUUCAUAUUCAUUUAUUUUAAAAUUUCAGAUGAAGUAGAAACUUUGUCACCUGGCUCUCAUCCAAUCACAAUUAUAUAUUUAUUUAUAAAAAAGUAACUUUUACAUCAUAUAAUAUAUUAUUUGUGGAAAAAGUGAACUUAAAUUAAACUAAUCCAAACACAAUUAUUUCCCUCCUCCCAUUUUAGUUCACUUUCAAGCCAGAGUAUAUUAUUUUCUUUGUCUCUAUACUCUCUAUUAAAUAACCACCACUCCAGUCCACAGACUAGUGGUUUUGUCUUCUUAUCAACCUUUGCUACUUG
This 66135-nucleotide long non-coding RNA is filed under the name Medicago truncatula (barrel medic). Its description in RNAcentral is "long non-coding RNA (MTRU_LNC001273)". The record is from RNAcentral. Lineage: Eukaryota; Viridiplantae; Streptophyta; Magnoliopsida; Fabales; Fabaceae.